Molecule: long non-coding RNA, 80511 nt
Filed under: Cucumis sativus (cucumber)
Lineage: Eukaryota; Viridiplantae; Streptophyta; Magnoliopsida; Cucurbitales; Cucurbitaceae
Description: long non-coding RNA (CSAT_LNC001451)
Source: RNAcentral
UUCUUCUUCCCUCUCUUCCUCAGCCAAAUUUGGGUCAAAGGCUAAGUCUUAGAAACAUCCAAAAUCAAGGAUUCUCCCAAAUCUCUUCAAGACUUUCCCAAAGCAUUUUGUUAAACGGAAAAGGGUUAAAGAGGCCUUAAAAAAAAGUUUACAAAAUAAAAAAUGAUUUUGGAUCAGAACUCUGAUUUUAGAGGCAAAUCAUGCUCUUUUGCAAGCUCCUUUUCAAUCAAACAAGUCAAUUCCUCAAAGAGUGAUUCAUCCUCAUUUUAAAUACAUAGUUUUCUUUUUGCCUAAUUCAAAAGUUAAUUUUUGUAGAGAUUCUCCUACCCAAACUCUACUCGCUUCAUCAAGAAAGAAGAGUCUCAAAUUUCGACUCUCCUUUUAGUGUGAGCAGAGAGGAAACCGAACAUAUGCCAAAGACAGCAGAGAAGGAUGACCAGUCGAUUAAGGAUCCUUUAGAGUCUGAUCUUAAUACCUUGUUUCUUUUAUUAAUACAUUUAAUAAAGAGGCUCGUAUCCGUUUCAAAAAAACAAAAAGAACCCUAAACAACUUAGUUUUGAGAAAUUAAAAGAACACUAGUCCAAAGUGGCAAAUCUUUGUAAGAAAACAAAGUGGCAAAUCCUCUUCAUAAAAAAGAAAACAUACUUACCAAGAAGUGACGUGACUACUUUUGAACAUCUUCCCGACUCAUAUGCUAAUGAUCCAGACUUCUAAACCCUUGAUUACAAUGUCCAAAUAACAUUGAUUCUGCUGAAUUGCAUAUUUAAUGGUUAUCUUAGAUUUAUCAUGCAUUCCUCACACAUCUUUGAGAGAGAAUCUUACUAAAGAACUCCACUCUAGUGGUCUUUCCAGUCAUUUUGGAAGGGACAAAACAAUGGAUAUUGAAACAUAAUAGGAAAUUCAUUAAGCAGCAUUAAACUUAAGGAUAAAGCAAUGGGUUUCCUUGAAAACCAGGUUUGGCUACAGUAGUACCAGAAGAAUAAGAGAGACUAGCAUAGCAUUCUCCAAGCUCUUCGUUUUCAAGUGUCCAAAUAUCUAAUUGAAUUCCUGCCUCGUCAACUUCUGGCUACAAAAAAUUGGUUCCCAUAGUAAAAUUAGCAGUCCAACCAACAAAAGCUCAAGAAGCAUCACCUUAAACUCUUCAAGUAAACAACAAUUCCAAUUUCCAGCCAAAAAGCCAGCCCAUUUUAAAAGAGCAGACGAAAAGGGUAACUAAUGAACUCAUCCUUUCUCUAGCAGUUGAAGCAUGCUUAUGGAAGGAUGUAGAUAUGCAGAUUCUUCCUUUAGACCUCAUGGUUGUGCCUUUAAGAUAAGGGACUGCAAAGAACUUUACCUUUUCGUGAAUUUUAAAUCCACAAGUUUAAUCUUAGGUCCGUUUCAAGAUUGUCAUUAUUCUUUAGUAAGAGGGUGGGUAAUUUUCCGAGUAUUUACCAAAAUCUCCCUUCAAAAUUAAGCUAUCUUGACGGGAUUAGAGGCCACAUUUUCCAAUAUUUUUAAAAACCAGCCAGUCUUCAAACUCUGUAUCCUGUAGAUUCCUUCUUGAAUCUAGAUUAAAUGUAAAUCAUUAGAAUCCCAAAAUCCUCUGCCACCAAUUUAUCUUUCAAGCGAUAGCAUAAAGGUUUAAACAAAUGAAAGAAAGAGAAGAAUUUGGCAGCCAAUGGUCUUCCCAAAUCCCAGAACCAGACUUCGGUUCCUUUCUUCUAAACUAAAGACCAACUAGGUCUUUCCCACGUUUCUGCACUUGGAGCAAACCAAGGAGCUUCGGGAAACUUCUAACAUUCCAAAUCAACUAGUCCGUCCCACAGAUGCUAGCAAUGAAAAUGACGAAACAUAUUGUUGUUACUUGAUUUUUUGCAUCUUUAAAACACUUAUCUUCUAGGCACAGUUGUUGAUUGGGGUAUUUUCACCCAAUUGGAGAUUUCUUUGUGGUAGCUGUAAAGUCCUUUGCAUGAACGUAUUUGAAACGAGAAAAGCUAAUGGUAGCUAUUUGGUGUGUGCACUGAUUUAUGUCCUGUUUGGUAACCAUUUCAUUUUUUAUUUUUGAAGAUUAAGCCUAUUUCAUCCCCCUUUCUUACAAUAAUUUGAAUCUUUCUUAAGUACUAUGGUUGAAUUCUUAGUCAAAUUCCAAAAACAAAAACAAGUUUUUAAAAAUUACUUUUUUAUUUAGUUUUCAAAAUCUAGCUUAGUUUUCUAAACUAUUAUAGAUAACAAAAGAAGAAAUUUGGAGGUGUAAGCAAUGUCUACAGACUUAAUUUAAAAAAAUAAAUGGUUACUAAAAGUAGCCUUACCUAUUUGGUUGAAUUGCACCUACCUUUUGAAUUUUGAGUUCAGUGGACACUUUUUCUAUGCAAGAAGCUAUCGGUGUAAUCAAAUUAUAGUUUCCAUAUGGAACAACCUCCUAGUGGGAAAACCCCAAGUAGGAACAAAAGUAUCAUAACAAUUUUGACUAAUCUUCUUAGUUAAUUAAUCAUCAACUGUAGUUUUGGAUACUAAUGCAUAUGUUUAUCGACCUGAGUAGAAACAGCCAAUAAACCCAUCUUAUAGCAAAUAAACCUCUACCAAAUUCUCUGUACUUCGUAAUUUCCUAAAGUAAAUAGUGAAAUAAUCUAGUCUGAUUUUGGAUACUAAGGCAUAAGGCAUAAGGCAUAAGGCAGUAUCCCUAAACAUGCACUUUCGUCAUCUAAAACUCAACGUGUUAUUGAAAGCAUUGGGUAUUUCCCACCUUUCUUCAGUAUUCAAGCUUCAAACGAAGAAAGAAAUAUAAGCCAGUGUAAGUGAAGACAUAAACGAUGAAACAGAGGAACCUAACUAAACAACAAAUGAGGAAAAAAGGUAGAGAAUUCAAAGGAUCCUAACUUACACACUGGCAUCUUCUCUUCCAAGGAGCUUGACCGGAGUUCCAGAUCGAGGUGACGUAAGGUGCGAAGAUGAAAGGUCAUCAGAACCCAAGAUUUUACCAGGCCACCAUGAACCAUUCCUCCUUCGAACCCACACGAUCGAUCCCACAGCAUAAUCAACCGCACCAGAUCCAGGACUCCCCAUUCUCUGUCCAAUUUUUUUCUCUCUUAACCUAUCUAAGCCUUUUUCUCUCUCUCACCCCCCCACUGCUGGUUCAAGUAAAUCAACACGCAAGCAACAUCAAGUCAACCUCCGGCGAAGAAGAGUGAGGUUCGGAGAAUAAUCCGACAGUGCGCAAAGAUGCAGGAUCCACAAAGAUCAAUACGGAUUGUGAUUAGGGUUUCCAUUCAAAUUUGGGGAUUUUUCAUUUCUAGGGUUCCUGAUUAGAAAAAAAAUUGAAAAAACACGCAAACUAGAAGAGAAAUUGACAUUUUUAGCCCCUUUUUAGUUUUUUUCUUUUCUUUUUAAUUCAGUUUUGGAUUCUUUUUGAAAAAAUCGUUUUGUGAACUUCUACGAAAGGUGAGAUAAGCAUUUGAAACUUUUACUCUUACCUCCUACGUAAUAAGGCGAGAGUAUAUUAAAAGAGAAUGGGUGCAAAAAUCAUCCACAUAACAAUGCUGGUGCAUAACAACUCACGCUCAAUAACCCUCGCUAUCCAAUCUACAUUGUCAACUUGAAGUUGAGAGUUACAAAAUUUUGUUUCAAUCCAAUUCAAUCCGAAUUAAUAAUAUAUAUAUAUAUAUAUAUUUAUAUUUUAUUAUUUAUUUAAUAAAAGUAUUUUGUUAAAACAAAUGUAUAGAAAUUUAAACGAUCGUAUGAAAAGUUAGUCUGUGCGAGAAGUAAACAAUUGUUUGAAGGUAGAAAGCUAAACGAUCACGUAAGAGAGUAUACGAUCGUUUAGAAAGUUAAAUAAUCGUGUAGGAGGUUGUAGGGUAAACAAUCGUGAUAACAUUUAUUAGGAGAUUACGCAUAGUCUAUAGAGUAAAUAGUUUAUUUGGAUAUAUUUUAUAAAUAUUUUCAACAUUUUCAAAUGAUACUGAGAAUUUAAUGAAAAUUUUAUAUUAAAAAUGUGAAUCAGAGAUUAAAUUAAAGCAAAAUAUAAAUAUAAAUUUCGAUAAUGAGUUUGUAACAUUUUGAAAUUUAUGGACUAAUAACUUAAUGAAUAAAUGUAUAUCAUCGAUAAAAAAGAUACAACAUUCCUCUCGAAUUAACAGAGCGAUCGAGAAUUUACAACGUUAACAACGUAGUAAUUAAGACAAAUGAUGGUAAGAAAAAUAAGAUUAUUUAAUUAAAUAAAUUUAUGAAAUUUGUGUAUUGAAUCUACAUUAUAUAUUUUAGAAGAAAAAAUAAAUCAUAACACCAUUAUCAUAAUUCUUCCCCCAAACACAUUUCAUAACACUACCUACGUAACAUUUCUCAUAAACAGAUCUUAUCACAACAGUAUCAUAACACUAGCUACAUAACUUUUUUCCCAAACACAUAGUAUCAUAACAUUACCUACCAUAAUCCUUCUCCCAAACAUUGAUGAAAAUUAUAUAUAUAUAAUUAUUAUGAAAAAGGAGAAAGUACUUAUAUCCGAAGAAAAUAAUUAUUAAGGAAAAGUUAACGUUAUUUUGGGAAAAGAGAAGAAACUGGGGUGAUGUGAGAAUUAACGGAAGGAGAAAAUAAUUUAUUAUUUUGAAAAGGAAAAGGAAAAAGGAAGAUAAUGAUAUUGAUAAUAAUAAUAUAAUAUAUUAUUAUUAUGUUAAUUUCAAUGGAUGCAGUUGAUUGCAAAUGAAAAUGACAACCUUUAUGAAGUGGUCAAAGAAAGUAUCCUUGCGUCAAGCUAAUGAGAUUCAUGUUUCACCUAUUCCUGCAAAAAGGACCAAAAAAGAUCAUUUGGACAUUGCAAUGAGCAAUCAUGAUGCAGAGAGUCAUGAUGCGAAUGAUCUAUGGAGAUUAGGAACGAUGCGGUCAGAAAAACUAUGUAGAGCAUAAGCGAUGAUACCACAAUUCGUCCUCGCCAAAGAACUUGAACGCAUGGAUAGAUUUGUAAUAUAUAAUUCUUCCAAUUUUCUUUUGUACUAAGAUAUGCAUCCUUAUAUUGGUGUACAUAUUUACUUAUAUCCCUAUACCUCUGUAAGUAUUCUUAUACUUGUACAUCAAUUUUGUAUUCUGUUUUUGUAUAUCCUUUAAUCUUAUAAUGGGGAUCAUGUGGUAUACCACAAAGUUAUAAACCGACAAGGUAAGGUAAAGACAAAGAGACUAACCUAUGAGAAGGUGUGAGUCAGACUCAUUAGGUAUUCUGACCCUCUUGUACGAUUUGGCUGGGUUAGGUUUCAUUACAAAGAAUAGGAUUCUUAGGAAGUACUAAUCAUCCAAUCAAGCCUUAAAGUUCUUUAACUUCCAAGAAAUAAUGAGUACGUCGUACCUCGGGCCACGAGUAGUCUGUCAAGUUUAUCAAGUCACAUUUAAUUUGACAAGACUCUAAUAGUGAAAUAACCAAACCUUUAACCCUAGUUAAGAUUGCCAAUUUAAACAGCCCCAAAAACUUCAAAUCCUAACCUCAAGAUAAGCAAAACUUCGCCCUCAACUUAUUCUCUUUCUCCUUUCACAACUCUUUAGGUUGCAUUUCUCUUUUUCCCAAUACCACUAUUUUUCGAGUGUGCUUCUCUGUUUUUUUAGUUCCUCAUACCCACCAAGUACAAUAAUGAAACAAGUCUGACGUGGUGAGUAUGUGGGAAGAAGGAAAAAGAAAAAUACAACCUAGAAUAAUUAUGACAAUUAGAGAUAAGGAAGCCCACAUCAUAGGAACUCAGGUAGCACUACAUUAUUUACCUUCAAGCUUCUUGUCUCUUCAAUCAACAUCCUUCUUUAAGUUGUAUUUUUCUUCCUCCCUUCUUCCUAUUGUCCACUCUGUACAAGAGUGAAACAUAUUAGUGGAACUACACGGAAGAAGAAGAAAGGAAAAUACAACUUAAGAAAGAUGAUGGUCUAUAGCAAGAGAAUGUCAAUGUCAAGAAUAUAAAAAUGACAGCCGUGAAAAGAGGUCACCCACAAAUGAUCGCAUUGAUGAGGUGGCAACAAUUGUUAGUAUGCACCGCCACCGCAAGCUCAAUUGGGACCUCUUUAGAAUUUUAUGACAUUCCUUCAUAUUUUAAUUAAACUUUAUGUAAUUUUUAUUUAUGUUUACGUAUGUUCAUUACAAUAUAUGUCACAACUUAUGAUAUAAUUCUUAUGCGUUUAAUCUUUUUUGUCACAAGUUUGGCUCCCCGCUUUUUAGUAUUCUAAUUUUUCUUCGCGAUUCAAUAACACUUCAAUAAAAUAAAUUAUGUGACAUAAAGUUUCAUUUGUUAUCUAGGCGUUUAACUUGUUAAGGAACCUUACUUAGAAAAUAUUUCUCUAGUUUAUUAGGCGAGCAAGUUUUACCUCAAACCUCUUUUGUAGAUUUUUCUGCGAAUAAUCUUAUCAUUCACUUUAGCAAUGAGGACAUUGCAGCCUCUAAAUUUAGGGGUGUGCGAGAUCCGCAUAAAAACUUUUGAAACCUUUUUAGAAAUCCUCUUAAGGCGUUUUAAUAAAAGUUAAAACUAAGCCAACAAGUGAAAAUUUUAAAAUUAUGUAUUCCUUUAUUCAAGUAAAAUAGCAACUCCUAUGUUGCCUCUCUCGCAAAAAUAAGAAGCAUACCUUCAAAAGUAAAAAUCAGAGAGUUGAGUAAUAAGAGGUGAUGCAAGUUACACUUGAGGAGAGAAAUUGACUCAUAGAGUACCUAUGGCUUUCCACUGAACGCCAAAUCCAAUGUAAAUGUAAUAAAAGCAUUCUUGUCCUCUAGUGAGCCUUUCUCAUGUGAUGAUGUGGUUCCUCAUCUGGAGAUGUUAAUCGCCCAAUGAGUUCCCAUCACGCCUUUGCGCAAGAUGUCUCCUGCGAUUCACUAGUUUAUUUCUUUGUUCAUUAUCCUGCAUUUAGACAUGUCAACCGCGUAAAACAGACAUGAUACUUAUGUAAGAUGUAUUUUUAAAUACUUAUGUAAGAUGUAUUUUUAAAUACUUAUGUAUUUACAACAUAAGUUACAUGUUUUGAUCAUCUUCUUAUGCGUUUGACCUCAUUAUUCUAAUAAAAGAGAUUAUAAUAACUCAUAUUUAUAUACACGUUAUCAAAGGUUCACUAUAAAACAAGAAUGGUAGUUGGAGAAUGUGAUGUGUUGCAGGCCACUUUUUAUGUGUCAAAGUGAUGUUCUUUCUCUUCUUUUACCUUGGCCUAAACUCUCCUCUCUGUUGGAUUUUGUCUGGCUAAAAGAGUUUCAUUAUCUUCAUCCUUUUCAUUUUCAACUCCUUCAUUCAAGACUUCCCCUUGGUGACGAUUCCUUAAUGCUACAUUCAUCCUAUCUAAUCGAUCUGUCAAGUCAUUAAUUACUUGAGUUAAACGAACAAUUGCUCCUCCUUGUGCUUCGAUCCUCCUAGCUUCACUAAUCUCCCCAUCAUUUUUUGCUUUUUGAUUCAUAUUGAAUAGAUUAAAAGGGGCCUCACACACUCAACUCACUAAUUGUUUACUCGGAACACUCGUGUUUACACACAAAAGGUAGGCUAUUUGGAAAAGUAGCUAAAUUUUGAUAUUGGAUAGGCCUUUGCAAUCCUUGAAAUAGUGAGCUAUUCAAUAUAAGCAAGACAAGAUAAUUAUGAAGUUAACCCCAAAAAGAACAUAAAAAAUGAAAGGUUCAAACAAAUAAGGAAGCUUAAAAUUUUCGGAUGAAACUAAACACAUAAAUUGAUUUGCAAAUAGAAAAAUUUUAAGAAAUGAAUUUGACAAACUAUACUUCUUGGAAGUUGAAGAUAAUAGGUGGAUCUAAUAGUUUGUUGAAGGGCACAAGGUGAAAUUCAAUAGUUUACAAGGAGAAAGAAAAUGAGAGAAGUUUGAAAGUCACAUAGAAUGGAAGAAAACAUGCAAAAAGUUAAUGUAAUAACUCAAUUGCGUAGAAUUUGAUUACAAAUAAAGAUUAAUCACAAUUUUUUUUUUAAUAAUUGCAAGAACAAAUUUUCUUUUCAAUAUGUAAGACAUAAAAAGAUUAAAGUAAGAUAAAAAUAUUAAGAACGAUAGAUGAAUGACAAUAAUUGAUAAGAUGAAACUAAAAACAAGAAUCAAAAGUUUGUAAGAAAGAAAGAUAGAAUCAAUCUUAGAGUAGGCCACAAAGAUGCAACAUAGGCUAUGAUACCAAAUGAUAAGACAAUUCUAAUCCUCAAUCCAAAUAUCCAAGUUAUUAACGUAGCAAGAACCUUUGAAAUAAGAAACUAACACCUUCUUAUACUAAUUUAGAUCAACCAAUAAAAAGUUACGAUUAGAUUACCUCUUAGAUCGAAGAUCUAGAAGCAGUAUUUGAAAAUCUUGUUCUAAAUUGAGUCAUUCCACAAUCAAACUUGAUCAGUGUUAGAUUGAAUGGCUCGCAUGCAUUCUAUCACAUGAAUUACAAAUUGAAGGAAAACUCUAAAAAAAACUGAGAUUUCAAAUUGUAUUCAUCAAAAGUAGAUAAAGACAUUAUAUAGACUUGUAGAUGUUCUAUCCUAAUUAAUGAAAAUACCAAAAGUCUUUAAAACGUUAAUAUUAAUAGCUUAGUAUAGCAUAGUAAUGGUACUUACCCUAGCUUGUUAAAUUAAAACAAGUGAAAAUGCAAUAAAAAUGGUCAUAAAUUGUUAAAUUAAAACAAAUGAAAAUACAAUAAAGAUGGUAUUCAAAUUGUUGGCUUCAAGGAAGCUUCCUGUCUACCCCAUAGUCCACUUCAAUCGAAAAAACAUUGACCUUCAAUCGAAAAAACAUUGACCUUCAAUCGAAAAAACAUUUGACCUUCAAAUCUUCAAAUGGUCCUUCGUCUUUUCUAUUAGUAUGUAGCACAUGAAAUUUGAACUGACUCUAUCCAUACACAUGAAGAACGUUAAAUAUUUGAUGCUUUAGAUCUUACAAUUGGUCCUUCCUAAACUUCUUAUACAUGAAGAGUGAAUGCUUUAGAUCUUGUAAUUGGUCAUUCUUAAACUUUUUAUAUCUUGUAAUUGGUCCUUCUUAAACUUUUUAUACAUGAAAAAUAAAUGAUGAUUUUUGGGUUAUUCAUCUAAUGGACUAGAAAAAAUUGUAUUCCUCCAACAUAUUCGUCAAAUUUCUGUCCUCAUCUGAAAAGCUAAUAAUUAAGAUUUUUCUUUUAAAAAAAUCUUAUGAAAUGAUUAAAAAAUAUAUAAUCAAAACAUGUCAUAAAGUUCUUGUCAAUCUUCCAUUAUUUUCACCAAAAAGGUUGGCACACUCUUCUGAUGUAUGUAAUUUAACAUUUUCUCCUUCUGUGAGAAUCGAAAGUAAAGAAGCAAAAAAUGAGCAAACUCCAUGGAGAGAAUAUUGAAUUAGUUUGCAAAGGUAGGCUACAUCUUAUCAUAUUUAGUCCUAAAUCAAAAGGUUCACCAACGAUUCUCAAACAAAAGACCCUGCCUGCAUAAUCCAAUAUCAACUUUGCCAACGAAGGCUACAAAAGACCCUGCCUGCAUAAUCCAAUAUUUAGUCCUAAAUCAAAAGGUUCACCAACGAUUCUCAAACAAAAGACCCUGCCUGCAUAAUCCAAUAUCAACUUUGCCAACGAAGGCUACAAGAAACCACAAAAAUUGAGUGACGAGCCAUCCCUGCUCCAACCAACCAAGCAGGACAGUAUGGAAAGAUGAGAAUUGAAAUAGUUCUGUCACAGAGUUGCUCAAGAACAAUUGAACAAACCAAGCAUUCAAUUCAAAUUAGAUUAACUAUCAACUGUAAACAAUCUUUAGUGAUAAUACAAAAACUUCUCUACGUCAUACUUUAUGCUGUUCUGAAUAUUGCACAUCUUAACAAACUUAAUAUACAAUUCAAUAGGCUGCAGAGAAUAACUUUCAAGCCUUGUCCCGGUAAAUUAAAUGCUUGGGGAAACCUGCAAUCCACUCGUUCAUUAGCUUUAUAUCCAUAUUUGUGUUGGUUUUCUUAAAAACAAAAAAUGAAGAAGGCUGGAAAACUCAUAAAGACUACCUCAAAUAUCUUUUUUGCAAUUUCAGGAUAACAUCUUGUGCUGUCAACUGGUUCUCCACAUUUACGAAGGGCACCAUCACCUCCAAAGAGGUAGGACCAUUUUAAAGUUUGAACAUUUUAUUCAAAUUUGUUCUCCACAUUGACCAAGAGGCUACGAAACCUGCCAAGAAAGGUGAUCAAAGUCAAACAUCAGUAAUUAGAUUUAAACAAAUUGCAAAGCAAGAAGCAUUAAACGACAAGCAUAACUAAAAUCACACGAUUAGGAAAAUGACCAAACCCCUGCUGAAUAAGAAAAAAAAGAGCCUCAAGGACAUCUUGGUAAUAAAAUAAGGAAACAACAAAUAUAUUAGAUAUGAACAAUGAAACAAGUCUAGGGCAAACCACAUCACUGCUCAUAAACCUGAACACAGAGCCAAAAGCACGUCUAGCAAAACAGAACUCAAAACUAAGUGCUUACUCGAAGAAUUAGAAAAUUAGACUUAGAGAAGUAGGGCGGGUUCUAAGCAGAGGUAUCAUUUUCAGUAGCCCAUUACAUGUCAAUACAUCAGUUGUGAGAGGAUUAAGAUUAUUGCAAGUAAUCUCAAAAUGCUUUAGCAGUGUAAAAGCAUAUCAAAUAACGUGAAGAAAGUAUAUCAAGAAAGGAUACUAAGGAAGCCUUUAGAGCUACAAUAGUAAAUGUUGAGAUGAUACAGGGUACGUAAAGUCUAAUUAUAAAUGUAAAGUUCAUGAUCAUCCUGCUCCAUCCCAGCUGUUAUAGUCAAUCUAGUGUCAGCUACAUAUUGGCAUUAAACAAGAUUAGAAAUAUAAGCGUUCCUACAAACAGGUGGGGCAUACAAAGGUCCAUCACUUCAAGUACCCGCAGGUCAAGUCCAUUAUAUGAUAUCAGUCCGUAGGCAAAACAAAAAAGAAAAAAGAAAAAAGAAAAAAAGAGGAAAUUAUUCAAAAGAACAGCAUAGUGAUAAGCCCCAGUUUUCCCAUCCUUUUUCUUAUGUAAAUCUAGCUCAUAUCCAUGCCAUCUCCAACUUGACUGCAAAUUGGGACGGCAGCAGAGAAAGAUCUCUCAAAAGGUGAAGGAUGAAACUGGGCAUCCCGCCUACGCUUAAAAGCAAAGUCAUCAACGGAGGAAUUGUCAGCAUCAAGCUUCCUGCGAAUGCCUCUGAUUGCAUGUUCUUCUGUCAGUGAAAGGGGGAAUAUUUGCCCACUUGCACGGCAAAGUGAGCUAUGGUUAUCAUACAGAAUUCGUUGGUCACAGUUUUUGUCACAAAUGUGAGUCAUUCCUGUAAAUUUGCAGCGGUACAUAUUACCACACACAUGUUCAUUCUCACAUUUCCAAUCACAUUUGUGGGCAAGAACUUGCCCAUCUCUACCCAGAAUAGUUGAAAGAUAAAUAACAUUUGCAGGCUCUGAGACCAUGGAUUUGCCGUUUAACUCCAUUGAAAUGAUGCUGUCAAAAGGAAAGUCUUGCCUCAAAAUUUCUGCAGAUCCCAACACAAAAUGGAAAACUGUCAAAUUUUGGACUAUGAGAGAAGGGAACCCCCAGUUUUUUUUUUUUUUUUUUUUUUUUGUCAAACUAUAGUCUUCCCCAUCACGUCCUUAAUCAAUUUUCCUGGAUUUGGACUCUAAAUUUGACUGAAAUUAAAAGAGGGGAAAACUGCAGAACAUAGGUACAUCAACGAAUUGGUAAUCAUUCAAGAAAUUAAAAAAAAAAAAGCCUCAACACUAUUCAGUUCUCCAGAUCUUAAAACAGUAGAAUGGUAUAUCAUGAGACACGAAGAGAAAUGAGAAGAAGUAAAAGUGCCAGAUAGUUAUAAAGCGGGCGAGCAAAAUAAUUAAACAUAUUGUAAAGACUAUGGUGAUUUCAGACCAGAUCUAAGAAACCCAUGUGCGGAUUAGGAAAAAAGAACAAAUACUUAGUAACGCAAAGACGCUUAAAAGAUUUCUUAGAGGAAAAAAUAAAAUAAAAUUGUGAAUGUUUAGAUAAAGAUCUCAAAGGGGAAAAGCAUAGGAGGUGCUCGGAAAUGAUUAAAAAACGAAAAGAGGAAGAGAAGCAACUCACUUGAUCUGAGAGGCCACACGGCACCACCCAGAGUAUCGGAACAAAAGGAAGAAGAAGAAAACGACAAAACGCGGGGGCGCUGUCUCCCUCUGAAUCAACUCCCGCACUCCCUCGUCUCCGUUUCCCUUUGAUUUUGGAUAAUCUAGCAACAACCACGAUAAAAACAAAAACAAAAACAAAAAUAAAGAGAGAACAGAAAAAGUAUUAGAACGAAAGAAACGAGAAAUGGGGUAAAGCUUAUUUAUAGAGAGGAAAGAGGAGACUUUGUAGUCCGUGAUGAUGGGGUUGACGAUGUUAGUCGUUGGAGUAGAGAAGAGACUCACACUUUUUAUUUUUUUAAACAAUUUGUUUCCCAGAUCAUCCUUAACAUAUAUUUAUAAUAUUUCAACACUAUCCACCAAUUCAUCUAUCUCUUAUAUUUCUUCAUAAAACACUCAAAUUCUCAACUCAAAUCAAAUAUACUUAUAUAUUAAAUCACAAAACUUCUAAAAAAUAAUUAUAGUUUAUAUAGUCUAAACUAAUCCAUCUUUAUAAAUAUUUUAAUUCAUUUUAAUAUAUUUUAAAUGAGUUUUAGAUCUUAGUCAUUUUUUUUUAAUUUAAAACCAACUAGAAUCAUUAUACCUUUUAUUUUUACGAUUAUUAGAUGUUAUAUUAAAUGGUUGAUUUUAGAUGCUAUCAAGCCCCUCUAUAGUUGUUUUUCCACUCUCAUUUUUAUUUGUUGAACUUUCCUUCACAUUUUCAAGCCGAAAGAAGAGCGUUAGAUAUUAUAUUAAAUUUAUUUUCUUCCCUUAACUUAAAAUUUUAUGUUGAAUGUAUUAUUUGAGAUUGACUUAAUCUCAUUAAUGUUUCAACAUGUAUAUCACCGAUGUAUCAUAUUAGAGCUUACAAUGGUUCAAUCCAUCAUAUUAACAAUCAUUUUGAGUGAAUUGAAUGAAUUAAUCAUACAUCAAUCCUACGUUUGAAAUUAAAUUUUUCAAUGAGUUGUUAUAGGAAAAAUUACAUUAGAUAACAGAAAAAAUUAAAAGAAAACAGCUCAUAACAUCUCUUUCUGCAUAUUGCAAAUUUGACAAAUGUAACGAUAAUUAGACGGUAAUUUACUUUUAAAUUACAUGUUUUUGCAAUUUUGAAGAUACAAGUGACAUGAACUCUAUUAUCAUAAUUUUUUUUAGCAAUGUGUACUUCGAAAAAAAAAAAUGUAAAUUUAAGAACUAUUGCUAUACUAGUGAUAUAAAUUAUUUUUCAAAAUAACGUAGCAACACAACAUUGUAAUACUAAUACACCAACAUUAUAUUUGAAAUGAUUGGUGUUCGGUAUUUGUUAGUGAUAGUUUGAGGAUUAUCUCAUUAUGUCGGUGAACUUCAGCUUCAACUUUAUGCUACCAACUCGAACAAUGACUUCGUCUUUUGAUGGCUCGACACCUAAAACUGUCGCUUUUUUUCCGAAGGAAGAAACAUAUACAGUAUCGCCAACAGUGGGAAACAAAGGCUCCUCUGUAGUGUACAAAACUCACAAAAUUGAGGUAACAAAAAUUCUUUUAAUCACAUAAAAACGGACAACAUAAUUAUAAAAGACGGAGCUUCUAUUAAGAAGAAAAUUUGCAAUUCUUCGAAACACAUACAAUUAAACAGGAGAUUUGUCAAUGGCAAACCUGAUUGUGGUUGACUGAUAUCACUGGUUGAAGAUAUUUGCCUACGCAAUGCCAUCAAAUCCUUUUUGCCUGCUGUAGUUCGGUUAUUAGAGUUUAUUCCUGCACGUUGCAUCCUAUCAAUGGCAGAGGGCGAGGUGUACUCAAUUGUAGAUGCACGUAGUUCUCGUCCUUUUUGGUGAAGGUUAGAACGAGCGGUUGUAGCAGCGUUCGCUACCUCUUGCACUUUUCUAAGCCUCUGUCGUCUGCCAUGUUCAAUAAUGUUUCUUCUAGCAAGCAACAAUUUUUCAUAAAGAUUUUUUGACUCCCUGUGGUUACAAGAAUAUGGAUGGUUAAAAAUUCACGAUUCUACUAGUCAAGAACAUUAUCUAUUGAAAAUGACAAAAGAAAAAAAAGGACUAAAGCUAGCAUUUUGAGCAAGAACUAGUGUUUUUAAAUGCCCAAGGCACAACAAGGCACAAUGGCCUUCUAGAGCCUACACGCAAGGCGCACAAAAAGGUGAAAGCUUUUUUCUCUGAGGCGUACUACAUAUCAAAAUAUUACGUUAAAAGGAGAAAGCAUGGUGAAAGUGGAAAUAUGAAAAAAAAGACCUCAAACACAAGAAAUUUUGCAUUUAGGAUUCCUUAGUUAAUAAAGGAAAACCUUCAUUAUUACUAUUUCUUUAAAAAAUGAAAAAGCCGAGCUUUGAGCCUUGGGGCUUCACAAAAGGCAAGCGCCUAAUGCACGCCUUAUUUUGUGAGCCUGGUCUUUCCAAGGUGAGGCACUAGACCUGUGCCUUGAGCCUAAACGUGCACCUGAGAGGGCUUUUUAAAACACUAGGAAAGACCCCUAUUCAUUACUUAAAAGUAAAAUUGUUAUGUAUAGGCAAGAAACAAACCUGUAAAAUUGUUAGGUAUAGGCAAUAAACAAACCUGUAUCUUGCUAGUUUUUCUAGAGACUGACUAUUAUUACAUAUGUACAUACGGCAUUAAAGAAAACUUUGUUCAACCACCUAUCUGGAUAUGGAUAUAACAUAAAAAAGCACUAACGCCUUGUCCAAAGAUCUUCUCCUCCACAUUGCCAGGGGUCGGAAUUACAUUUUUCCUGUUCUUUUAAUUUCUUUUUUAAAUUGCUUCAAGCUGAUAAUAAUAGCUAUGAUUUUAAAAAAAAUGAGAUCCCAGUUUCAGCAACUAUACGAAUUAACAAUGAUCAGAACUUGAUAAACACAGAAGAAUUUGAAUCAGACCUAUGGCUACGAUAUUAUUAAAGGAUUUAGGUUGGGCAGACACUGUAUCCAUAAAAUUAAUCUUACUAAGAGACUUACGUCAAGUUAUUCUGAGCUUCUUGUAAGAGGUCUCCAUAUUUUUUCUUUAUACAUUCCAUAUCGGUUAUGACCUGCAUUAAAAUGUAACAUAAAAUUGUAAAUAAUGUAGUCUAACAUAUCUUGAGAAGCAAUAUACUAAGUGCAUAAAGAAUUAAUAUUCCAUAUCUGCUACUGCAACUGCCAACUGGAGACGCGAGGACUACCUUUCAGUUUUUUUAAAAAAAUUAAAGAAAGAAUACAGACUGAACAAAAAUAAGAAUAUUAUUGGAUAGUGGUAAACUAUAACAAAAUAAUUGAUAAUGAUAGUAUCUCAUAAACUUUUCUUUUUAUGAUGCUUCACAAAUAAAAGACAUACAUAAAAAGUAAAGCACAAAUUUGCAAUAAUUGUGCAUUCUACCUCAUCAAUCUGUGCACUUCCCGCACCAUAAAGUUCCCGAGCAUCAUCUACAACAGAACUAGGCAACCCUAACCUUUCGGCUAUAUUUAUAGCAUUUGAACGCCCUACAAACAUGACAAAAUAAAUUUGACCUCACCCAGAGCAUGUAUUUCACAAAGAGAGAAAUGUGUUCUUAAAUAGAAGAACAACCCAUUACAAAGAAGGAAAAAGUAAAUUUGGUAAAUAUAGUACAACCAAUACAAUAAAACAUAAUACAAAAAAGGAAAUAAUCAACAAAACAUAAUUUCGCGUCAUUUAGGUUUGCUGCGCUAGAAGAGAAAAGAGUGAUGACACAGGUGUGAAGAAAGUGAUAUUUUGAUUCAACUAAACGUGCCUUUAACUUACAAAAUGUAACAAUAGAAUUUCGAUGGUUAAGAAACCAUAACAUUAUUUAGUUGUCAUACCUUCUAAAAACUCCCAAAAAAACUCAAUGGACACAAUUGGUUAUAAAAAAAAAUGUUACAAAUCAAUUUAAUUCUAAAACCGUCAAAAUCUAAUUAAUAAUAUGAAACCUUUCAUAUUCUCAACAUCCCCUCAAACUUAAUUUGCUACGCCUAGAAACACACCAGCUUGCAGGCUUUUGUGAAAAUGUCCACCGCUUGGUCUCACAACUAGAAAUAUUUGAGUUCCACUUCUUUCUUUGUAACACAAUCCCGAAGGAAAUGAAAUCAGGUAUCAAUGUGUUUGUUCCUCCCAUGAAAUACUAGAUUUUUGGCUAAUGCAAUGGCUGAUUUAUUGUCAACAAAAAUCUUCAUUGGAUCCUCCAUUUGAAACUUCAACUCCUUCGUUAGGUUUUUUAGCCAAAUUGCAUGGCAUAUGCAUUAAGUUGUCGCAACAUACUCCGCCUCACAUGUUGAUAAUGUGACUAUCGGUUGUUUUUUUGACAUCCACGUGAACACUGUUUCACCAAUAAAAAAUAAAAACCCCAUAGUGUUCUUUCAAUCAUCCAGGUCACUACUCCUAUCACUAUCACAGUAACCAACAAUAUCAAAAUUGCUAGAAGAGACAUAGGAAAGACCAUUCUCUAUUGUCCCUUUGAUGUAACAAAGUAUACUCUUUGCCAUUUUGCAAUACAUUGUUGUCAGCGCCUCCAUUAAUCGACUAAUAAUUCCAACUAAAUAAAGAAGACUCGUCUUGUGUAUAUCAAGUAUCUCAAACUUCCAAUCAAGCUUUUGAAAUAUGUAGAACCUACCUUCUCUCCUCCAAUCUGUUUGGUAAUUUUGACUCCACAUUCCAUUGGUGUUCCAACGGGAUUAGCAUCAUCCAUACUAAACCUUUUAAGCAUUUCUCUAGCAUAGCCCUCUUGAGAUAUAAAAAUCCCAUCUUCACUUGUCAAGAUAAUAACUCAUGACACCCAAUGUCUGUCAUUUCAAACUCCUUCGUCAUCUCCUUUUUAAAUUCAUAAAAAAUGCAAGGAUCGUCAACACACAAACAAAUUAUUAGUAUGUUUUCAACUUGCAUUUUGAUACAUAGGGCAUGCUCAUAAGGACACUUCACAUACUUCCUCUCCCUAAAAUACUUGUCAAUCCUUGAAUUCCAUGAUCUCGGUGCUUGCUUCAAACUUUAAAGAUCCUUCUUCAAUUGAAGCACUUUAUCCUCUUCACCCAUGGCUUCAAAUCCUAAUGGUUGUUCCACAUAGACCCUCAAGAAUUACAUUCAAGAAUGUCGAUUUGACAUCCACUUUGAUAAUUUUAUAUAAUAUAUUCAAUAAACCAAAAGUAAUUCAGAGUACAUAUGACCUUUUACAUAAAAAAUAAAUAGACCUGAAGAAACCACAAAAGGAAAAUACAAAUAUAGAAAAUAUUAAAAGAAGUAAAAGAACAAGUAAAAGAACCCUAACCCUCUGCCCUUGCCCUUCCUCUCUUUCAAGGAAUGUUGCAGCCCUAUUUAUUCACCAAAUUCUUCAUGCCCUUCUUCCUUCCCCAACUUCCUAUUUAUAACCAACUAUCUAACAAUAAAUCUAAUUACCUUUAUACCCCUACUCUAUAUUAAUCUAGGUAUCUAACAGAGUUCUAAUUCUAAGCAUUGAAUAUUUGAAUUUUUGGCCAACUCUCGUUUAUUCUUGGAAUUCAUUGCAAUGUUUCUUCGUAUUUCAUUAUCUCAAGGGCACAAGUUAAAUCAUGCUUGCUGUGAUUUAUAGGUUAUUUAAAAUAGCUCUUUUAAAGCAUGAUUAACUAAUUUCAAGAACCGACUAAUUAAUAAGUAGGGCUAUCUGGUUAUUUGAUCAACUUAACUAGAUACCUUGCUUAAUACAGUUGCUUGAUUAAUAUGGACGCUUUCUGUACCUAAUUAGUUACGCAUCUAGGAUGGCUAAGAAAUUAACCAUAACAUUAGGACAUGUACCUUGAGACGACUUAGGUUCGUGAGCUGAGAGUUAAAAUUGGCAAAAAUUGCAUAUCUUGAGAAGUUUGUAACAACCAAAGGAAUGAAUGGAUUCCGAAUCCCUGGUCCAGAUCUUUAUGGUUUGAAUUAUCUCAUUUGCAUUCCCACUUUACAUAAAAGCCUUUACAUGUAAUUGCAAACAAAGCACACAAAGUCUUUACCUUUGUCUUGCUAAUCUAUCUCUAAUUUUGCAAAAGUGCUAAGAUGCCAAACUUGUUUUAAAUUGGUAAAAAUAUCACUUCAUAAUCAAGGAGGGCAUUGUGCUAGAGCAGAGUGUUUCUUCAUAGGACCUCCUUUCAACAAUUCGACAUUGACAUCCUAAACGUACCAAACGUAAUUAACUUAACAAAUUAAUUACUUUAAAUUUUUAUAAUUUUAAGAAUUCAUUCGUAUUUUAAAAUAAUUUGUUUAAAAUAUAUUAGGAAGUGGUUUAUCAGAUCAAACAUUAUUAAUAGAUUUAGUUUACCAAUAUAAAAAGAAUUCUAGGAAUUCCUGGGGAAUCCUUUAUUGGAAUUUUAUAAAAUCAGUUCACUUCUAUUGAAUAAGAUUCUCUCGUGGAUAUUAAGAGGCCUGAAAGAUUUAUCCUCAAUGGAGUUCCUUUUUGUGCUUCAACAUUGUUUUGGCUCAUCCAGAUUAUCUCUGGUUGGGGCAUCUUCUCCAAGUGUUUCACAGCUACUUUCGUGAUCCUAGACUUUUGGAGCACUUUUGUUUUUUCCAGCAUAUCACUUGUAUUGGAUUAUCUUUGUUUGGAGUUUUUCAGCUUCUCUGGUUUGAAUUUUGUUGUGUGUGUAAUCUGUUACUCACUUAUACAGGUUGUUGGGAGACUUGGUCUUAUGUAGGGUAUGUUUAAUUCUUCAGUUUUAGUAGUUCGGAUAUAACGUGGGCACUAAAGGGGUGUCAACCUAGUUGAGAUGCCCAGGUGCGCCUCCUUUAUCCCUUUGUAAUUUUAGCUCUUUGUAUAAUUCUCUUGUAUUUUGACCAUUAGUCUCAUUUCAUUUUACUAAUGAAGAGGCUUGUUCCAUUUCAAAAAAGAAAAAAUAUUGGAUUUUAUAAAGAAAAUAAAUAAAAUUUGAGAUCAAGUUUCACAGAAUUAUUUCCAUGUCUAAACAGUCAUAUUUCUAGGCAUCACAUUCUCAUAUUUGCAUACUAAGUGCCUAAUGGUAUUACGGAAUUAAAUGAAAACAAUGUUUCUCUUAUCCAAAAUGGAAGAAUAUAAGUUUUAAAAAAUGAGAGGGGGGGAAUGUAUAAAAUGUGAGAGGAUUAAAUGGUGAAUCAUAUUUCAAUAGUGAGAACCUGGUAUUCCCCAGAGAAUCUUGUAAGUUGGCUUUAGGUUCACCUCAUCAAAUUCCAUACAUGCGUUUUCAAAGACCUCAUUGCUGUGGAGAAAAACUUCAUAACCAUGAAUCAAAGAUCUUUGAACUAGAAAAAGGAAAAAAUUACUAAAAAAGCAUGUACAUGCAAAAGGUUACUUUGAUUUAUUAGUUUUAUUAUUUUUUAGACAAGAUUUCUAUUAAUCAGCUUAACUACUUUGACAUAUAAGUUUAGUUGUAAAAAGUGUUAGCCGAGGGCUUAAGAAAAUUAUUAUCUCAAAGGCCCUUUAUUGGAGGAAGACAAAUUAAUAGACCCGAUUCUUAUAGCCAAUGAAGUAGUGGAACUGUGGAAGAAUAUUGCUCUAAGAAAAAGAGGUGGAUUCUGAAAUUAGACCUCGAGAAGGCCUUUGACCGAGUAGAUUGGGCUUUUGCAGGAAAAAAAUUCGCCUGAAAAAACUUUGAUCGCAUAUGGUCUUCAUGGAUAAUGGGCUGUGUGUCAAAUUCAAAAUUCUCAAUUUUCAUCAAUGGUAGACCAAGGGGAAGGAUAAAAGCUACAAGAGAUAUUAGACAAGGUGAUUCUCUCUCACCUUUCCUUUUCCUUCUAGUCAGGGAAGUUUUGAAUACACUUCUGGCUAAAAUACAUGAAAAAUGGAAAUUCAAAGGGUUUAUUGCGGGAGAAGACAAAGUUCAUGUUUCCUCCAAUAUGCUGAUGACACUUUGAAUUUUUGCAAAUACAAUGAUGAGAUGUUAGAUAAUUUGAAGAAAAUUAUUGAACUGUUUGAAUGGCGCUUGGGGCAAAGACUAAAUUGGGAGAAAUCAGCAAUCUUUGGUCUUAAUAUUGAUGACAGCAAUUAUCGAGCUGAAUUGUAAAGCUAUUCAUCCCCCACUUAUCUUGGCCUACCCACUACAAGGAUACCCCAAAGAGUGACAUUUUAAGAGAAACCAGUGCCCAGCUUAAAAGAAAAAACCAAGAUUGAUUUGGCAUAUUGCAAUCAAAGCAACGUUAGCUGAAUUGUGGUUUGAGAGAAACCAAUGACUCUUUCAUGACAAAGCCUCCCCUUGGAUGAUUCGCUCGGAUAUAGCUUGGCUAAAUGCUUCUUCAUGGUGUGCUCUCUACAAAGAGCUUGAAGCUUUCUCCAUCCAAGAAAUUAAUCUUAACUUGAAGGCCUUUAUUUUUCCUCCCUCUUAGCAUUCGUUCAAAGGUCUUGUUUUCUCUUGUAUUACAAAUUGUAAUAUUUUUAGCUCUUGUAUUGUUUCUGUAUGAAUGUUCUACUUGAACUUUGUAACACUUGAUUUCAUCGAUUUUUGUAUUGAAAAUGAUGAGUGCUAAGGGGGUGUCAACCUAGUUGAGAUGUCUCAUGUCCAGGUGCACUCACUAAUCAUUAGGAUUAGUUGUUGUCUUUCCAUUGUACUAUUGUCUCAUUUCAUUAUCUUAAUGAGAGGGCUUGUUUCCUUUUUAAAAAAAUGAUAAUAAUAAUAAACAAGGUUUCUAUUAUAAAGUUAAAAAGUCAAGCAACCAAAACCUGUAAAUUUUGCUUUCAAUCCUAUCUAUAAGUUGCAUAUUGUACCUAUAUUUUAGGGUUUUAAGCUCUCCAUGAUGUGUUGUUGCAAUUGUCAAUGCAGCGCCAGAUUUAGCAAAAGAUUCCAGCAGUGACAUCCCAAGUGCGGCUCCCUCCAGAGGAUUGGUCCCUGCACCAACCUACCAAGCAGAAAAAACUAGACUAAAAUUGACGAUGGUUUUUCAACGGUUUCCAUACUGACUUUCAUACUUACUUCAUCCAAUAGUACCAACGAUUGACUAGUUGAAACUGACUGUAUGUCCUGCCAUAUGUAAGAAAGUAAUCAAAUGAAGAAAAUAUAUCAGAUAAUUCGAAUAAGUGAGUGAAACAAUUUGCAUUAUAGACAAUAGCCUUGCUGGAAAUGGGAGGGAAAACUCUCACGUAGACCAUAAAGUAGCCCUGACAUAAGUUCAUUAAAAGAAACUAUUCAGCCCCUCUCCUCCCAAGAACUCUGUUAUGUUUUCUCUUCCACGUAUUUAUUUUUUUAAAGGAAACCAGCCUCUUUAUAAUAAUAUUUUUUUAACAAGAAAUAAGCCUCUUCAUUAAGAUAAUGAUAUGAGGCUAAUGCUCAAAAUACAAUGAAAACAACAAGCAUAAAGCAUCGGAUCUGGAGAUGAAUCCAGGCAUCUCAACUAGAUUGACACCUCCUUAGCACCAUCAUCACUUCCAAAACAGAACUUAUAAAUAACUUAAAAAGACUUAAAAACAUUGCUUGUGGCUCUUUUUCCAAAAACCCAGCUGAUGUCAAAAAACGUAAAUAAUGCAAACCAACAAUUUUGAGCACAGCUGCACUCAAAAGAGGAUGUGCAGAAUGUCUUCCUCUUCUCCUUUGCACAGUGCACAAAUACUUGGAGACAAACAAUGGGAAGGACACUUUCUUCGUAAGACCGAGGAGCAAUUUAAGUGACCAAAAAUUAUAAUCCAUAACAGAAUAUUAACUCGUCUAGGACUUCUCGUCUUCCAUAAAACCUUCUUUAUUGUCGUGUCAAGUGGAGAACCCAAAGAGAGAUGAUUUACCAAUGAUUUGACUGUGAAGGAUCCAUUUGCUUCAAGGGACCAAAAGUGUCUGUCACUAGAACCUGUCACCUUUUCCUUGACUAUGAUACUAAACAAAAUUUGGAAAUCAAGUAUCUCAUCAUCCUUUAAAAAUCUUCUAAAAGAAAUGGACCGUGAAGAAGUACCUUGAUCCCAAUGAUCCACAACCGAGCCAUUGCGGCAUUGUGGAAUUUGAAGUAGUUUUGGAAAUCUGGUUUUUAGAGGGAUUUUAUCGACCCAGAAUCUAGCCAAAACCCAUUUCCACGUUUAAACACCACUAAGGCCUCCACUCUUUGCCACGACCUUGAAAUAUUUAUCCAUGGGCUUCAAAGGAUGCAACUAAUCUUACCCGAGGCGUGCCAACAAAAUUUGUAUCUACAAUGAAUGCUUGCAACCAUUUUACUCCAAAGUGAUGAAUCAUCAUUCAAGAACCGCCUACCCCAUUUGGCUAAAAGAGCCAAGUUUCUGAUAGACCCUCAAUUAUACACCAGUACAGUAGAAGGAAGAAGAAGCAAGGUUAACCGCACGUGCUAGGGAGAAUAGCCUUAAUAGUUUUAAUAUUGUUAGUAGAUGCUUCCAUAAUAAAAUAAUAGAGCAUAAGUAGGAGUUUGUUAGGGAGAGAGAAAGUUAGUUAGAGUAUAAAUAGGAGUUGGUUAUGGAGUAUAAAUAGGAGUCUGUUGGGAGGGAGAAGGGUGUGAAAAAUUAAGGCUGCAAUAUUCCUUGAAAGAGAGGAAGGGCAGGGGGUUAGGGUUCUUUAAUUUUUCUUUUACUGCUUUUAUAUUGUAAUUCUGUUGCAGAUAUCAAUAAAUAGAAACACUAUAUCAGUGUUCUAUCAGUUUCUUGCUCUUAGAUCUUUUAAACUGAGCCCUCCAUCUUCUUGUGUUUUGGAGACCAAGUCUCAUUUAACUAAAUGAUUAAUUUUUCCACUGUUGUUUCCUUCCCCAAAGAAAUUGCUCAGAACUUGUUCUAUCUUUGAUAAGACCUUACCUGGCAACAAAAUGGAAGACAUGUGAUAAAUUCAAAGGUUAGAGAAUUGGUUUGCAAAGAGUAGCUCUUCCUCCCCGAGAAAGAUUAUAUCUUCUCCACUUGUCCAGCUUGCCUUGUAACUUAUCAAUAACCGGUUGCCAAAAUUCCACCUUCUUCGGAUAGCCACCCAAGGGUAGGCCUACAUAUAUAAGUGGAAGGUGGUCCACCUUACAAUUUAGCCUUGUUGCCACCAAGAGAAGUUUGCCAUCAUCACCAUUAAUGCCACAUAGAGCAGAUUUUCCCAAUUUAUUUUUUGGCCUGAGCACCAUUCAAACAGUUCAAGAGUAUCAUAUCAUGGAGAUUAUCAAGCAUUUCAUGAUCAAACUUGCAGAAAAUUAGGGUAUCAUCUGCGAAUUGGAGGAUAGAGACAUGCACUUUUUCUUUUCCAACCCAAAAUCCUUCGUACCUUCCUUUUUCAUGUAAUCUUGCAAUCAAAGAACUCAAAAACUUCACUUACUAGAAGAAAUAAGAAAGGGGAGAGUGGGUCCCCUUGUCUAUUUCCUCUAGUGGCCAGAAUUCUCCCCUUGGUCUUCCGGUGAUAAAAAUGGAAAACUUCGUGUUUGAAAAGCAUCCCAUAAUCCAUGAAAUCCAUUUUGGAUCAAACAAAUUUCCAUGAAGCACAUUUUCUAGAAACUCCCAAUCAACUCUAUCAAAGGCUUUUUCUAAGUCAAGUUUAAGAAUCCACCCUUUUUUUCUUGGAUCUGUACUCCUCUACAACUUCAUUAGCAAUUAAAACUGGGUCAAGUAUUUGCCUUCCUUUGAUAAAAGCACUUGGUGUUGGAGCAAGAAUGGUUGGCAUCACUCUUUUCCGUCUUUCUACGGUGUUUUAGCUAAUUAUCUAAUAGACAACCGUCGUUAGACUUAGGGGCCUAAAGUCUUUUAUCAAGGCCACCAUUAUCCAUCAAUAUUGCAGGAGGGGCAAGAAUGAAAUUAAGGGGGGAAGUUAGUUAUCCAUGAGAAUGAGGAACGUAAAGUUAUGUAAUGGGUUUGAGGGGACCACGAGAGGGAGAAAAGGGUAUUUUGAGAAAGGAAAGGGUAGUAUAAGUAGCUUGGGUUGUUCUUCCAUUUUCUUUAGCUUGGAAUUGGCUUGAGACUCUUACAGUGAGAGAUGGUUGGAAUUUACAUUGUAAGGGAAACCUUACAAAUUGGUAUUCGAGCCUUCAUCCUUGGGGUGAUUGGACCAAUACAAUGGCAAAGAAGUUUGAGGGGCGGAUUGACGCCAUAUAUAGGGAGAUCGAGACUACCAAAGGAGUCAUUCGAAGAUUACCUGAGUUGGAAGAAUCAUUGAAAGGGUUGGCUGAACAACGACGGAAGCAAUUCAAAGAAACUCAGAAGAUGUUUGCAAGGUUGUCUGUCGAAUUGAUGUUGGGGCGAGGAGGUUCACUGGCAGCAGGGGAAUCUUUGUCACAGCCAAAAACAAGGGAAAUAGAAAAGUUAAGAAUGCAUUCUUGAAUGGAGAUUUAGAAGAAGAAGUGUAUAUGAGUCCUCCACCGGGAUUCGAAGCCCAGUUUGACCAUCAGGUUUGCAGACUUCGAAAGUCCUUGUAUGGGUUGAAACAGUCACCAAGAGCUUGGUUUGACAGAUUUACCACCUUUGUCAAGUCUCAAGGGUACACUCAAGGGCAUUCUAAUCAUACUUUAUUCACAAAAAUCUCCAAGUUUGGAAAAAGUACAGUUUUGAUAGUUUAUGUUGUUGACAUUGUUCUAUCUGGCGAUGAUGCCAAUGGAAUCCUCCGAUUAAAAAGGAAGAUGGGGGAUGAGUUUGAAAUUAAAGACUUGAGGAAUCUGAAAAACUUCCUUGGGAUGGAAAUUGCCAGAUCUAGAGAAGGCAUCUCUGUAUCCUAGAGGAAAUACACCCUUGAUUUGUUAACUGAGACAGGUAUGUUAGGAUGUCUCGUUGAUACAUGUAUUGAGCCCAAUGCCAAACUCAUAGAUACAAGUGAUAAUUGACAAAGAAAAGUAUCAACGCCUAGUGGGCAAACUGAUUUAUUUAUCUCACACUAGGCCUGACAUCUCAUAUGUUGUGAGUACUGUUAGUCAGUUCAUGCAAACUCCUUACGAAGAACACAUGAAGGCAGUAAACAGAAUCCUAAGAUAUUUAAAAAUAAUUCCUGACAAAAAGUGUAUUGAGGCAUAUACAGAUUCUGACUGGGCAAGGUCUAUUGUUGAUUAAAAAAAUCUACUUCCGAGUACCGUACCUAUGUAUGGGGCAAUCUCGUUACUUGGAGAAGCAACAAGCAAGGGGUUGUUGCCAGGAGUAGUAUUGAAGCUGAAUACAAGGCCAUGAGUUUGGGAAUCUGUGAGAAAGUUUGGCUUCAAAAGGUGUUAUUCGACCUUCACUAGGACUAUGAGGUGCCUAUGAAAUUUUUUUGUGAUAAUAAAGCGGCUAUCAGGAUUGCUAAUAACCCGGUCCAACAUGACAGAACUAAACAUGUAGAGAUUGACAGACACUUUAUCAAAGAGAAAUUGGACAGUGGUAGCAUCUACAUUCCUUACAUACCUUUAAGUCAACAAAUUGUUGAUAUUCUCACAAAAGAGCUACUCAGACAAAGCUUCAAGUCUUGUGUUAUCAAGUUCGGUCUUGUUGUAUGUUGAAAGCCCAAGAGUUUGUUAAGAUCUUAUAGUGUCCUAAUUAUCUUUUAUUAUUUUUGGGGGGCAAGAAACCUUUGUAGCUAUGUUAAACCAAGCUGACAAGGGAGGAGAAGAACUUACUUCUUUGUCGACUGACUUGCUGGAGUUGCUGUUAUCAAUAGGAAAAAUACAGCUGCUUUUUUUUUAAUUUUACUUUUAGAGAUAGGUGACCUUUGCUCUCCAUUUUUUGACUUCUCACAUGCCUUAUUUUCAAAAUUAGCAGACGUUGGAAGGAGCCUGGGACCCACUAAAUUGAUAACACAGCUGUCUUCCGCACCCUUCUCUUUCUUCUUUAAUAACAACUUUUCAUUUUCUGGCAGAGUAAAUGUAGCUCCCAUCUGAACUUUAUUACUUUUAUCAUUGGCCUUCGUGGAGAUUAAAUUCUUGCUGGCACUCUUAAUCAUAGAAACAUUACUAUUAUCUUUAUUACUACAUGUAAGUGACUGCUGGUCUCCUACAAGUGAUUUUUUAAAUGGAAUAAAAUUAAAAGAAGUUUCCUUUGGCGGGAAGGCCGAGUUUCUCCUGAUUGGUGGUUCUGAUUUUGAACGGCUCUUGGAAUUCUCAGACUUUCGAUUGUCUUCUGCCCACUGUUUACUAACGGAACUAACAUUAGCCGGAUGUUGAAGGGAAGAAUUCCCAGAAUCCGACGAUGCAUUGCAGUUCCGGAGAGAUGGUAUUGGUUUCUGUUGAAGAAGUUUGAACAGCCUUUCAGACGACUCAUAAGGGUUCCUUUGCGUGCUUGGGAUGGAGUUCGAAGGAAGGAGAUAGUCAAACUUGGAGCUAAAUGAAUCUUCCUCGAAGCCUUCGUCCUUCAUAACUUGGCUUAAUCUGACAAUAUCUAAAGGAUUAGAAAAAUCGAGAGUAAAUAAAUCACCUUGAAAUUUGCUGGGUGGAUUGGAUACAGAGAUAUCCCCAAAAUUCAAAAAAAUGUUUCCUCUUCUUUCAUCAAAAAUCUCAAUGGUUGUCGGAAUGAAACCACACAGAUUUUCCUUCACUUGAAUCUUGGUUUCUGAGACAUCAAUGAAGUUGAUAGUUUCAGCUGCAAUAUUUUCUAGACCUCCAAAAUGAGCUCCAAUCACUUCAAAAGUUUUAUUACACCAAUAAUCAAGGGGUAGAUUUUUUAUUGAGAUCCACCCUCCAAAGCCUUUCGAAUAUAACGGUCUUCCAUGGAUUAGAUUGUUCCACUUUUCAAACUUUAAAUGAAAGAACCAAAAGAUUGUCAUUUGCCUGGAUUUUCAAUGAACUCCUUCAAAGGACCACGAUCCAAUUCAAUCAAAGCAUUGUCUGCAAAUAAUGGAUUGAUGAUAACUUUUGAGUCGAAAAAGAGUUCUGAUGCCAUAUUAAUUUUUACCCAACUAUCAAAUUCAAAAAGUUUUGAAACAACCUAAAGAUUAUCAAAAUCGACUUUGAAGACUACCGGAUUUUUAAUCACCCAAUAUUUGCUUGUACUUUGUUUUGUGGUAUCGGAAAGAGGUCUUGGGUGACUCUUUUGAUUUUGCUAUCUCCACAUAGCUUCCUUUCGUAUUUCUGUUCGGGUGCUUCAUAAAGGAGUUGAACAUGGAUUGGGUGGAGAACCAGAAAUUGUAGUCAUGGAUGUCCUUGAAGUCUCCCAACGUUUUUCUGAAACUUUUCCACCCUUGUUUAUCUUCACCAAUGGGGAUAUGAAUAAAUGAUCUCCCUCCAGAACGAGGCCAUGCAAUGCAUCUCAGAACCCACCCACUUUUGGAUCUGAAUUUAGAAGCUUCAACCCUUCCACACUCAACUUUUUCUUUCUUAUAGAAAUAAUCUUCUUUAGAUUUCUUGUUCAAAUCUUUCACCGUUUCAAUGAACCAACUAAGUUGAAGGAUUGAUAAAGACAUAGAAAUAUUAGCUUCAACAUCUUCAAUGUGAAAAGCUUUAUCUUCAUGCCAGAUACAGAAAAUUAGGUUUUCGAUUUUGCAGCUUUUUACUUCCAUCUUUGAGAAAGUAAGAAUGGUAGCUAGGGUAAUGUCCAAGAACAAGGCAACGACUAGCAGUGUCUACCGGAUAAGGUAAUCAACCGGCAAAAAAUUUAAGGGAAGGAGGAGGAGAAAGAAAGUAGGAGAGAGGGAAGAGAGAAGGGGAGAGAGAAUUUACCGUUUUGUGAUCAACUUUAUUAUUUUUAUUUUGGAUUCUACAACCUAUACAACCUAUUAAUAAACGUUCCAUGUAUCAUUAUGAGAUACAGAAAAAUAAUAAAAAAAUAGCAUCAUGGAUUUUUUCCCUAUUCUAGGGUUUCCACGUAAAAUAGUUUAUUUCUUCUCUUUUCUUCUUUCAAUAAAUACAAGUUGAUGCACAUUGCUCGGAAAAUCUCUAUCAAACACCCUUUUCAAACCACAAAAGUCAAACAACUUCACCCAAUAUCUAUGCACAAAGGGACAAGUAAAGGAUAGAUGCUGUGAAUGCUCGCUGGCCACCUGACACGAGGGGCAGAUGGAAGGAGAUGAACUGUGAGAAGGCACUUUUUGUUUGAAUUAUUUUUUGCCUUUAAGCAUUAUUCACACCAGAAUGUUUACUCUACUUCGGCUCAUGGAUUUCCACGAAGCUUUUUCCAAAUCUUUCUCAAUGGGAGAUGACACGGGGAGAUGGUUAACAAGUGAGACCUUUUUUUUUGAAAAGAAGACAAGCUUCUUUAUUAUUAAUAAACUCAAUGUACAAGAGAUCUAUACAAUGAGAACAAUAGGGAAGCCAAGAAAAGCGGGAGAGAAAGGAUCAGUAGGUGCACCCGAACAUCUCAACUAGGUUGACACCCCCAUAGCACCCUCAUCAUAUCUAAAAUACAAAGAAAAGACCAAAAUACAAGAAAAAUACUAAGGUCAUGAAAAUACCAAAGUAACCACCAAAAUAACUACGAAAGCUACCUAUGGUAGACUAAAACAAGGCUGAAAGGAAAAACAAAACGGCAGAAAUACAUAUAAAACCCGUCCAAACUACAAAAGCACUAUUUCUGAACUGGCAAUCGAGGGAAACUACUUUGUAACUCAUCCGAUGAAGGCGGUCCAAUUGAGGCAGAUGUCUUGAAUGGAGUAAUCUUUGAAUUUUGCAUUUGAAGAACACCAAGUUGCUGCAUUUCUUUUAGGGUUAACAAGUGAGACUGAAAACAUCUUGCUGGAAUCAACAGACCAAAACCACUUAUCAGGGCUGUCUUUCACCUGAAAUCUUGAAAUCAAGCCAUGUAAGGAUUGUAGAUCCGAAAUUUCACCAUCCUUAAGAAACCUUCCAAACAUUGGAGACCAUGAGGAACAAUUAUGGUCCUAAUGGUAGCAUCUGAACCAUUUGGGAGCUGGGCAAUUCUAUAGAGAUUUGGUAACCUUACACACAAAGGGAGAUUAUCAAUCCAAUAGUCAACCCAAAAGCCAACCCUUCUGCCAUUGCCGACUUUACAGGAAGCUAAAACGUCAACUUUCAGCCAAGUUCUUGAAAUGUUGACCCACUGGCUUCGAAGACAAAAACAAGAUUUUCCAGUCGUGUGGCCAUUUGAAUAAAUCCGUAGUGUGGAUGCUUUUCAUUACUUGGCAACAUGUAUAGGGAAUUUUUCUCAUGGAAGAACCGCAAAGCCCAAUUAAGCUAAAAGGGCCAGAUUUUUAUUCUUUAAACCACCCAGCCUAGGCUGCCAUUAUUUAAAGACCUUGAGACAACUUCCCAUUUCAUCAAAUGAUUCAAUUUUCCACCGUUAUGUCCUUCCCAAAAGAAUUUGCUAAAAGUGCACUCCACUUUGUUGGUAACUUUCUCCCGCAUUAAGAAUUUUAUGCUUUUUUAGUGGAGUAUACUUAGUAUUUUAUGUUAAAUGUAUAAUUAAAAAAAAAAAAAAAUAGUGUAUCCUCAAUGUGUCCUCAUCCUAAUAUUUUAGAAAUUGGCAUAUCGCCAUGUCCUGCGUAUCCGUAUCCGGGUCCUUGUCCUAUGUCCGAGUCCGUGUCUUAUUUAUUCCUACUUAUUUAGGAGAUGAUGAUAGUGCUAAGGGGUGUCAACCUAGUUGAGAUGUUCAGGUGCACUCGAUGAUCCUCACAUUUGUCUCUUCAUUGUAAUACUUCUCAAUUCUCACUAUGUAUUGUCUCAUUCCAUUAUCUUAAUGAAGAUGCUUGUUUCCUUUUAAAAAAAAUAAAAAAUUGGUCUUUGGUUUCACCCAUCGACAUCCCCUGUUUUUUUAUCUUCCAUUCUUGAGAAUCAUACAUUCAAAAGAAGGAAGAGUCUUUUAGGGAUGCAUCUCAUCAGGGUAUUUGUUUGGUCGGUUUAGUCUGAUCAUAACAGACACAUUUUCAACAACAAAGAGCAGUCAUUUGAUCUUUUCUAAUUUUCUUGGAACAUGUUAUUUUCUCAGAUAUAUCUUGUGUAACUUGUUUAGGCUUUUCUCCAGAUAUAUUCCACAUAUAGCUUCGCCACUUGUUUGUCCAAUCGGAGACAUCUUUCAUAACUCCUUUGGAUUGGGAUCCUUUCCCCUUUUUCGUAAUUUCAUACAUCGAUGAAAUUGUUUCUUUAGUUAAAAAAUACAGCUCGUGAGAAUAUAUAGAAAAGGAUACUAUCUAAACCAAAAAAAGAUAAAAGAUAAAGAUAAAAUAAUUCGAACAAUGAAUGAAGGGGACAAAAAUAGGAUUGGAUCCAAAUUUACUUACACUUAUUUUUCUCAAAUGGCCAGAAAAGGUGGACAGAGAUUGGGUAAGGGACUGUUCAUCACCGAUAUCAGCAAAAAUAGAAUCAAACCAAGGGAUUUGUACGGACUCUGAAGCUAAAACGUGAAGCCCUACAAUGUGAACGAAAGGAAAGAAAGGUCAUUUAAAUAUUCAAUUUUAUAAAGCCAAUAUCACAAGCGAAAAAGUUGAAGCAUAGUAAUAAUGAAGAAGGUCUUUCAAUAUCAAAUUUUUUCUAGUCAUCAUAUAUGUAAUAUUCGUCUGCAUCUCAUUCCACCACAUUUUGAAUUGUUACGUAAAUUAGACCCCAUUCCACCCCAUUACCAGCCCCACUUGGGCCAAACAAGAUUGAGCAACCAAGCUCAGCUUGAAUUCAUUACAGAAAUAAAUCAUUUACUAAACCAGAAAAGAAAAAUUAAUUUAAGAUAAAUAAAUAAUAAUAAUAAAAGAAGCCGACCAUUCUUAAAAAUACCUGAUUUUGCCAUCAUAGCUGCCAAUCCAAUGGUCUUCAAACAAACAGUCUUACCCCCAGUAUUAGGACCCGUUAUAACUAAAACUUUUAUUCUGCGAGAUAUUGAAAAAUCAACCGAAACAGGACGAGCUUGCUCCAAUUGAUCAACCUAAUAAGAAGCACUUUUGUAUUUGAAUGUAUUAAAGAAUAAUACAAGAAGAUCUCAUCAACGGACACUAAAUCACAUUAACAAAUUACCUUCAUUUUAAAUAAUGAAAUAUCUAUAACUUCUUUUUCUUUCCAUGACAUAUUCCCUCCAGGAGGUUUUCUCCCCAUCUCCUAGGAGAAAAAUGAUGGAUCAGAACAGCUCAAUUUAAUAAAUAAUUGCUCUACAGUAUCAGACUCAGGAUAGCUUACAUUAAAAGCAUUUUUAACAUCCCUCUUAGCAUUUUUCAAAUUUUCUCUAUAUUGCUGAAGUAGUAAAGGGUGAUGGGUAUUUUGUAAAUAGAGGACCCAUUCAUUCUUCUUCAAGUGUGAUGCCUCAGAUUGGUCCCCUGAUAAACAGACAUUAGCAAUAGAAGAGUUGCAGCCUUCUAGUAGGACUAAAUUGGGGCACGUCCCCCCAAAUGAAAGACCAUAAGAUGCUCGAGCAUUGACCUAUCCAUUAAGGAAAAACAUAAAUUUUCCAACUAAGGAAUAACAUUGGAGAACAGGGAUAUUGUGAUGAUUUCAGAGAAAUUCAUAAAUAAAUAUGUCGAUGCCAAUUGUCAAGAUUAGUGUUGAGAUAAAUUUAAAAAGAAAAAAAAGGGUGGUUAUAUAGAUAAUAUUGUUUUUGAGAUAGACACUUGAUGAUAUUACAAGUCAAGUAACUCAAAUUAUUUCCUUGUAUAGUAAUGAUUUUUCUUUCCAUAUAAGUUUAGAUUGAUAGCUUAAUUUCAGCACAUUGGUUGAUAAUCUUCUCGUACAUAUUGGGUCUUUUUCAAUCACUAGAUAAUAAGAGAGAAUACUUUUACUCAGCUUUAGAGAUCAAUGGCACCUCCGUUCGUAAGCUUCCACACGGGAUUCUAUCACUUCACCAUCCUCUCACGAGCAAACUGAUAUUCAUUUUAAUUUGUAUACAACUCAUUUUCUCUCAAGACCUUGAGUACAACUGAGGUCUUAAAGAAAAGAACCUGGCACAUUUGCCAAAAUGGGGUUGCCGGUAUCUUUUUUUUGAAACGGAGACAAAAACUUCUUUAUUAAUAUGAACUCAAGGUACAAGAUUCUAUCACUUCACCAUCCUCUCACGAGCAAACUGAUAUUCAUUUUAAUUUGUAUACAACUCAUUUUCUCUCAAGACCUCGAGUACAACUGAGGUCUUAAAGAAAAGAACCUGGCACAUUUGCCAAAAUGGGGUUGCCGGUAUCUUUUUUUUGAAACGGAGACAAAAACUUCUUUAUUAAUAUGAACUCAAGGUACAAGAGAUUUAUACAAAGAGAACAAUAAAGAAGUAGUAAUCAAGGGUGUCCUAGAGGGAUCAAAAGGCGCACCCAGGCAUCUCAACUAGGUUGACACCCCUAUAGCGCCAAACAUCAUAUCCCGAGUACAACCAAUCAAAACAAUAAAGAAAACAUAAUAAAAGCAGCCAGCUUAGUGCAAAGGUCCAGAAAAACAAUAUGGGACCGGAAGAAACAACAACAAUAAACUAAAUGGGGAGGGGGGGCAAAAACAAUCUGAAACUGGGGCAAUCCUUCAAGGCUUCAAAAAGCAUUAGAGGGCUACAGACUGAAUUACCUGCAGACAUUUAAACUGAGGCAGCAAAAGAUUAGGCAGGUUGAAAGAGCAAGGCAGCCUAAUGAAGGAAAAUGUCUUGGAUGGAAUAAUUAGCAAACUCCUUUUUAAGGGAACACCAAGCUGCUGCGUUAAGGUCUGCUACAUGCAUAAUUUCUGCCCUUGCCCUUACUUUAUCAAGGAAGAUAUGUUGAUUUCGUUCGAACCAUAAUUUUGAAAGUAAAGCUUUGGACAAGUUUUCCCAUAUGAUAUUUGAUUUUUUGGGCAAAAUUGGACCCUACAGAAGUUGAGUCAAACUAGCACUUAGUGAAAUGUCAAAAUCCCAAGCUAAGUUAAACAAGGAGAAAAUCCUUGCCCAGUAGAACGAAGAGACAGGAAAGUUCAGGAAAAUAUUAGAAAGACUCUCACUAGCCUUCAAACAAAGAGGACAGAUCGAGGGGGAGAGGCUUUUAUUGGGGGCUUUCUUUUGCAAGAUUUCUGAACUAUUGAGGGAUCCGAAGACCAUAAUCCAAAUCAAAAUAUUAAUUCUCCGUGGGCUGCCUGUUUCCCAAAUUGCUGAAAACAGACGUUUAUCCAUUGGAGAGGCAGACUUUAAGUGAGCCGAAAGAGACUUAACUGAAAACCAGCCUUGAGGAUCAGUGGACCAUGUUCUAUACUCGUCAGAGUUAAACACUUUUUCAGAAGAGAGGGGGGAAAGCAGUGAUUAAAAAUCUACAAUUUCAUCAUCCUUUAGACUUCUUCUAAAAGCCAAUGACCAAGAAGAAAUAUCACGGUCCCAAUGUGCAGCAACUGAACCGGUGGGCAACAGAGCAAUUCUAAAAAGCCUAGAAUAUUGCUCUUUGAAGGGGGCGUUACAAACCCAAAGAUCUGUCCAAAAGCCAAUUCUAUGGCUGUUUCCAAGAUUAAAAGAGGCUAAUGAGUCAACCGACCUCCAACUCUAGCAAUGCUAACCCAAGAACUCCUUAGGCUAUUACCGGACUGCCCUUUAGUGAACCAAUCAAAUGGCUCCUUUCUGUGAAUGCUUCUAAUCAUUUGCCUCCAAAGAGCUGACUCUUCUUUUGAGAAUCUCCAACCGCAUUUAGCGAGCAAAGUGGUGUUAUGAUUUUUAAUUCCUCCUAGGCCGAAGCCCCCAUCUUUUAGAGGAGCUGAAGCCUUGUUCCAUUUAACAAGGUGGUUGAUUUUGCUACCGGCAUGGCUUUCCCAAAAGAAAUUUUGUAUGAUCCUCUCUAUAGAUGCAGCCACAUUUUUUGGUAUUGAAAAUAAAGAUAGGUAAUAUGUAGGAAGGCUAACCAGAACUGAUUUGCAUAAUGGAUGUCUUCCGCCUCUAGAGAUGUUAUAUAUUUUCCACCUAUCUAGUUUCUUAUGAAUUUGAUCGAUGACUGGUUGCCAGAACAUCUUUUCCCGAGGGUAGCCUUCAAAAGGGAAACCUAAAUAAAUAAUCAGAAGCUUUUCUGCCUUGCACCCUAGCAGAUUUGUUGUUUGAAUCAAAUCAUCCUCUCCCACAUUAACACUCCCAGUUUACUUUCUGCCCCGAAUACCAUUCAAAUAAUCUAAUGGCGUCUUUAAGCUUAAGAAGCAUCAUCACGUCGUACUUACAAAAGAGAAAGUGUCAUCAGCAAAUUGAAGCAAUGGGAGGUGGAUUAAGUCUUUGCCAACAAGGAAACCUUCAAACUGGCUGUUACUAUGAAGCUAGUUUAUGAUUUCUCCUGGAACCUCACUUACUAGGAAAAAUAAAAAGGGGGAGAGGGGGUCCCCUUGGCGGAUACCUCUAGAUGCUGUUAUUCGACCUCUUGGCUUACCAUUAAUGAAGACUGAAAAUUUUGGAUUUUUUAGGCAGCCCAUUAUCCAUGAGAUCUACAUGGAACUAAACUUUUUUAGAGAUAAAAUAUUUUCUAAAAAGUUCCAAUCGGUUAUCAAAGGCUUUUUCCAAAUCAAGUUUUAAAAUCCAACUUUUUUUCCGUUUUCCCUAUAAUCUUCCACUACUGCCUCGUAAGCAAUUAAAAUUGGGUCAAGAAUUUGCCUACCUUUAAUAAAGGCACUUUGAGUAGGACUUAUAAUUGCAUCCAUAACAUGUUUUAGACAUUCAGAUAGAACUUUUGCAACUACCUUGUAUGCUAACGUAGUAAGACUGAUUGGGCGGAAAUCCUUGACUAGAGUCGCGUUCUCUUUUUUAUGCACUAAACAAAUGAAGUUUUCUUGAAUGCAAACAUUUAAUCUUCCAUUUUUGUGGAAAGAUUUGAAGAUAUCCUUGAAAAUAGACCAGUGAUUGAUUAGGAACUCCGCUGUGAAUCCAUCUGGGCUCGGAGCUUUAUUUCUGCCAAGUGCCUUUAAGGUUUUAAAGAUUUCCUCCACUGAAAACUGGGUAACAAGAGCCUCAUUUGAAUUGCGGAAACACCAGACCAAUCACUAUUAAUAGGGAUGAAUCUGUCCCCCGGAAUUCUUGUGUAAAGUGUCUCAAAAAAUUCUAGCACAAUCCUUUCAAUGUCGCGGAAAGAAGUCAAAACGACCCCAUUAUCGUCUUUUAAUUCGGUUAUGAGGUUCCUUCUUUUCUUUGCAUUUAGAAAGCGGUGGAAGAAACCUGUAUUCUCAUCACCCAAAGACAGCCAAAUGAGUUUACUUUUCUGAAUAUAAUUCCGCUCUUCAUUUUGGAAAAUGCUAAUUAAUUCCGCUUGCAUAGCUGUUCUAGAGCCCAGCUCUUCUUCAUUUAACCCGAUCAACUCAGCCACGGAAUCAUAUUUUUCUAAUUCUGACAGAAAGAUUUUCUCUCUUUCUUUGACCUUGGCUUGCACCGCAAUAUUCCAAGCUUUUACUGCCAAUUUAACUUAUCCAACCACUCAUGGAGAAUGAAACCAGCCCAACCAUGGAAGUUUGAACUGCUCACAGUUUCAACAAUAAUCUGAUUACAUUCACUGGACAGGACAAAACCAAAAAGGAGAGGGACCCCAAAGAAAAGCAUCAGCUUCCAAGAUUAAAGGAAAGUGAUCGAGAAGAUACGUGCUUUUUGUGAAACCCGAUGGGGUUGCAGGUAUCUUGAUGAAGAAAACUCGUUUUGGUACCAGGAUGUUUGAAGCACACAUGCCAAAGAUUAGCACAACGCUGGGAAUAAUGGUAAUAGUUUUGGGAACCCCUGGAUUACCAUAUCUAGAACCUGGUUAAAGGUGGAUGCUUUGGCAUCUUUAAACUUGGUUUAGGUACCACAAUUGUUUUUUGGCUAGACCAUUGGGAUGGAUUGGCUCCCUUUGUGCACUUGUCAUCCAAGGUUGUAUAGGGUUGCAUUACUUCCAAAGGGAUCGGUGGCAGAACAUUGGGAUGAAAAUUCUUCAUCUUGGUCUACAAAGAAGUUUUGAAUACACUGUAAAUAUAUAUAUAACAGUACUUACAUAGACCAUUCCUCCAACACUAGAGAGAAACCCAAUAUAAAGACUAAAACCUUCCUACCCACUUUCAGAUACCACCUCCAAUUUAGACAGACCUUCAUAACUGUCUAGUAACCACCCCCCAUAACUACUCAUAACCAUCAUCCGUACCAUGGGGAAGCAGUGCCCCUAUCAACUCAACUGGCAUCAAUAAAAUUCCACCUUGACAUAUUGGUUUCAUUCUUCAAGUUGGGGUGAGUUAGCCAUACUUUUGUGUGCACAUCAUUCAAACUAAUAUAUACAUUUCAAUCAUUCAUUUAGAUACUUCAAGAAUCUUCAACUAGAUAUAGUUAGUGUUAGUGUUGCAUUUUGAACAAGAACAUCUAGAAUUGGCCAAAGAAAGGAAUGAGAAGGCAAAGGAGUUGAGGGUGUUGUGAAAAAUACUCACCACAUCUAAUUCAAUUAUACAGCCAAUGAGUUUGCUAAUAUCUUCAAAAUCCAUUUUCACCUGUCGCGGAACAUAAAUAAGAUUUAAAAUAUAAUUAAUUGAUAUUAAGACUAUAUUAAUUCUAACCUAAAAGCUUAAAAUUUUAGGAUUAACUAUUAUUUAACAUCAUAUUCAUACCAUAAACUAAUAUACUCUAAAUAUAUGUAAACUUCAAAAUCACCAAAAGGAUGGUGGUUGCAUAAUAAACAACGUAGUUUCCAAAAUUAACGUUGGUGUUCUACUUUUGACGUUUAUGAUCACCUAUUAUUUUUUAACCAUCUCACACAUACCUUUUCAGUUAGCACAAAGAGAACAUCUUCCUCAGCUUUUGCCACUGAAGCCCUUGCUUGUUGCAACUCAUCAUUUAAAGGAACGGCAGAGAUUGGCUCUAUGAAUGAACCAAUCCCCGCAUCACUGCAACAAUACAUUCUUUUCAGAUAAGGAAAAUUUAGGAGCUGAUCUCCUUUCAUAAGAAAAAAGUUGGGGAAAUGCAAACAAAUUCUUCAAAUUCACCUACUUUCCAGUUUUUCACUAGUACAAUGUACAAAUUCCCGAAAGGUAUUAUAAUUUUUUUAGUUGCAUUAUUAGAAACAAAACCCUAUCCAUUUUAUUUUUAAUUAGUAAUUUAUUUUCAUCAUUUGUUGCCCAUAUGUACAGCAUAACAGAGUAUAUAAUUACUCACACCACUAUUACAAGCUAGCAUUAACAAUGUAAAAGCGACUACAUUCAAGUAAUGUGUAUCUUAAUGUGAGCAAUCACAGAAUCUUAAUAAAAAAUGUUUCCAGACUAGAAUGCAGUAUCUUCUAAUAAGUGCCUUGUAAAUCUAACAGCUCCAAGGUAUUUAGAUGAUUUUCUUAAAAUCCCUUACAAUUUUCGCCUAGAGCCACAAGAACCUCUUUCUUCCGAAGCAAUAAAGGUAAAUUUGUUUCAUUUAUUUAUCCUCUAUAACUAGCCACCUUCUUCAUUUUUUCCAUUUUCUUUCACAUUUCACAUAUCAAACUUGAGAUAAAACCCAAAUGGCUCCAUCUUUAAUCAUUGCAUAAACUGCAUCUCAGUGGGUUUUGUGUAUAUGAAAGAGAUGCACGCUCAAUGGAUUCUGUAUAUAUGAGAGAGAUGUACACAUAACUAUGUGUAUAAAAGAGAUGCACAUCCCAAGUUAUUAAAGAGGAGUGAGCACCGGGAGGAGGCAAGUUUGGGUUCCACCAUACUUAUACCUGCAUAGUCAUGGUGGUUGUAUGUACAUGUCCUGAUCCCAACAGUCAGGUCUCUUACUAAGCAUGCCAAUACUUUUCCUUUUCUAGAUGUUCAUUUAAGGUAAAAACAGAACUUAGGCAAACGACAGAAUUUGUUUGAAGGGCCGUGGAAAAUAGCUUGGUUCUUAAAUUCUGCUUUGAACUGCUUCACAUUUAAUUUUAUGUUUUCUUCUUCCGAAGAUAUACAGUUUGUUAAAGUUUUAUAAUUUCUACUUUUAUAACUAUGGGAUCCCAAACUGAAGCAUUGAUUAGAUUAUUUUUUAAUUUAAUUUUCCGUUCAAGUUGAUUUUGAAUUCAAAUAAAUGUCAAGCAAUCAUUGUCUUUAGAAGCCAAAAUUCUAAUAGAGCCUUAUUCACUUGCAAUGGUUUGAUGACUAGACACACAAUAUAUCUUAUUUAGCUUUUGAAAAGGAAACAAAUCUCUUCAUUGAAAUAAUGAAAAGAGACUAAUGCUCAAAGUACAAGAAACAUAAGUAAGAAAACCUAAUACAUAAAGCCAAAGAUAACUAACAUAUAUGAAAAUAUGACAGAGAGACAAUAAAUGCAAUCCAAUUCAGCAAAUAUUUUGAAUUGAAUAAUCUACAAAGAGCUUAGAAAGUGUGCACCAGGGUGACGCUAUAAGGUGAGCAGAAUUCAAUCUAAUCCAUGGAAGUUAAUAAUUUUUUAAUACAAAUGAAUGAAAGAAACUAAUUCUGAAUCACUAUAACCCUCAAAUUAGCUCAAUUUCAACCCUAAGGAUUGGGUUAGACACGGAUUGCUUUAAGAUCAAAUAUCUUGAGACAAAGAACAAGUUCCCUUGCCCAAGAUUUGAACACUCCACACAAUAGGAUGAUCGAUCUUGAAUGUUGUGGCAUACAUGAAUUGCAAAAUUCAAGAAGCUCUCCAAGCUAACCUUGAAAGAAAAGCUCAAAGGCUAAAUUCAAUUCACCAUAAAACUUAACUUUUGAAAAAUCUAAAGACAAAAAUUUAAAUAGUUUUCCAAUAAAACUCUAAUGCAAACAUAGUAAAAUGACAAAAUUAACCUUACUUGUCAUAAAAAGGAUAAAUUUGGAAAAUAUUAAAACUAAUCAAAAUUAUUAAAAAAAUUAAUUAGUAAUUUGACGCCCAUAUGGUUUAUAUCAUCCUUUCCUUCUUUUAAAGGAUUCAUCCUCGAAUCCAAAUCAAAACCUUGUAAAGUAGCUUGUUCCAUUUUGUUGGAAAUGAUGAGAGUGCUAAGGGGUUGUGAGCCUAGUUCAGAUGUCUUUAGAACUCAAAGACAAAGAUGUACAACCUGUAGAACAGAUCCAGUUCAAGUAAGGUCGUAGCCUAGUUCAAAUGUCUAGGUGCACUCUUUGAUCCUUUUGAAUUAUUGUUAUUUGACCAUUAAGAUAUAUUUUGAGCUUUCUCUUGUGCGGGUUUCACUUGUAGCUCUUUCUUUCAUACUUGCUAGACCCUACCCUCUCUAGAAAUUUUCUUUUUCCUGCACUAUGGAAGGUGAAAUCCCAAAUGAGGUUAAGUUCUUCUACUAAGUUAUUCGCGAAAGAUUUAUUACUCUAGAUCAACUUUUUAGAUUUAUUACUCUAGAUCAACUUUUGAAAAAGUUUUCUUCUUUGGUAGGCUCUUUGUUAACUUCUUUAUCAAAGGAUAAAAAAAGAAUUGUAUCGAAUUUUUUAGAGUCGGGGCUUCGCACAGUCUAUAGGGAAGUUUCUUAUUCUUUUUCUUUUUCCUUCCUUUUUUUCAAGGUGCUUGACUUUCAGUAAUCUUGUAUCUUGACACGAAGCUACUCUGAGAUGAUUGAGUUCAUUUUCCAUUUACUGUUUCGGGAGAAGGAAAGGUUCUUAGUGUCAAGUCGGAAUAUGUGCCUUGUUGUCGUGGGAUCUUAUAGGGAGAGAAGAAAAAUAGAAUUUUUAGAGAAGUGGAAAGGGUUCCCAGUGUUGUUUGGACAUUACUGACAAUUGUUUUUUGUAACUACUCAUUAAGUUUUUUUUUUUUUUUUAUGAAAACAACUUUCAUUGAGAAAAAACGAAAGAAUACGAGGGCAUAAAAAAACAAUCCUCCCAAAACACCCCAACUAAACGAAGAGGUUCCAAGUAAGUAAAAUGUUACGAGUGAAUAGUUAUAAAAAAGUUUCAAAACCGAAGCCCAAAAGGGCACAUGAAAUCUAACUAAGGACCAAACAUACAAGGGUCCCUAUCCCUCGCUCUAAAAUCUCUAUUAUUCAUCUCCCCCCAAAUAUCCCGUAACACAUCACACACCCUCACAAACCACAGAAACUGACAUUUGUCUCCGAAAGGUGGAUGGAGGAGGAAUUCCACAAUCACAACACGAACGUCACAAUGGUCGGCUAGCCAAACCUUGAACUCCUGCAAAGUAAAACUCCACACCACUUGAGCAAUACUGACAACCCCAUGGAAGACAAUCAAAGGCCUCCUCCGCUUUCUGUCAAAGGCCCUGCACGCAAGGUCCUUCUCCUAACGAGCCUUUCUAAGGUGUUCAGCUGACCCAGCAAGACUUGCCACGUAAAGUCUAACUUUCUUAGGAAUCUUAAUCCUCCAAACCACAUAAAAAAUAGACUCCUUAAAUGGGGUGGGAUUCGACAACAAUCUGAAAUAGGCUUUACAAGAAACGCUAUCACGAAGGUUUGAACUCCAAAUACGAACAUCCCUCCUCCCCAACCUAUACGUGGACUCCUUCAAAAGAGAAAGGAGGGUAGCAACCUUCAUUGUCUCCCUAUGGAUUAAAUGACGACGAAACUCGAAAGAAAAAGACACAACUCUUAAACCAACUCAAAAAUUCGAGAUCAGACAGUUCUUUAAGGAAGACAAAUGAUAAUGAUGCGGUAAUGUAGAAGAAAGGGAAUUGUCUCACACCCAAAAAUAAGUGUCCCUACCAUCCUCCACAAUACACAACAAAAGGAGAAAAAGAGGGCAGCUCAAGAGAAAUGUCUCUCCACAGAAUCCAGUGUGUGCCUUUAACCCCUUUCUCCACCAAAUCAAAAGGAUGGUUACCAUGUUUAUGCGCAAUAAUCCGAUGCAACAAAGAUUCGGGCUCGAGGGCAAAACGCCAAAACCGCUCAGCCAACAAGGCUCUAUUUCUAAUCCUUAGGUUGCCAAUUUUCAACCCUACUUAGUUAAUAGAGCGUCCCAACGCCUCCUAACUGAACAAGUGAGAAUCCUUCCCUUCCUCCCCUCCUUCCCAAAGAAAGUCUCUCAAACACUUUUCCAAGCACUUGAAACCGAGCUAAGCACCUUAAAGAGGGACAAAAAUACACGGCAAUACCACUAAGCACCAAUCUUAUCAAAGUAAGCCUUCCUACUUUGGAGAAAAAACAUUUCUUCCAUAAGUCUUCUUUUGUUUGCUUAAAGCCCCUUUCUUUAGGGAUGCUUUUAUGGGCUGGUUUUUCUUUUAGUUUUUUCAAUAAAAAGCUAGAAUACUAUCAAGAAGAAGACUUCUCACUUGCAUUUUAUAACUGCCAAUUGAACCACUUUUUUUGUAUGCUUUAUUGCAGCUCGGAAGAACUCAUAUAUUGUCCUAUUUUUUGUAGUAGAGCUUCGUUAAUAUGAUUGCAGCCUUACAGGUUUCUUAUUUCUUUCAAUAAAGAUAUACUGCAUUUGAUAAACAAUAUUUCAUUACCAGCGUUACUUAGCAUGAUAAAGAGGGCCAAAAAGCAUAAUUCAUAAGCUGAUGCAACGGAACAUGAAUGAAUGGAUGAACCUGGACAACAGGAGACCCUUAACAUCCAUUAAUUGAUCACCCUCUGAUUUUAUACACCACCUUCCAUCAACAAUUUCCACUUCCUAAGCCAAAAUUGUAGCAGUGUCAUUAGUAAGAUAAAUAAUCAGUCCACUAACUUCCAUAUGUUUUUUAUCAUUAUAAAUUAACAUUCAUUUGAAAACAAACAAAUGAGUCAAUACUUAAUACAAGUCCAAUCAGAUGCUUCUUACCAAAAAGGAAGUUCCACUCUUUGCACUCCUAACUAGGCUGUCCAUUAACUGAGAUAACUGUACAUAAAGAAAUGAUGUUGAAUUUAGUAAUAGGAAGUGCACAUAUAGCAUCCAGCUCAUAGAAAAUUUUAUUAUUGAAUCAAAAGCAGCAGCAUGAUAUUAUGAAUCUUAGUAGCAGGCAACUUUCAAUAUGAAAACAAGGGAUGUAGGGCAUCUGUUCUUGAGAUUCUUUUCUGAUUCUUGUUAGUUGUUGGAAACUUUCUUGAGUUCUAUAAAAGAUGUUCUAUUUAGUUUUUUCUUGCUGGCCUUUUCCUUUAUGUUUUUAGUAUUAAGACGGGCACUUAUAGCAUCCAGCUCAUAGAAAAUUUUAUUAUUUGAAUCAAAGGCAGCAGCAUGAUAUUACGAAUCUCAUUAGCAGGCAACUUACAAUAUGAAAAACAAGGCUAGCUCGGGCCAUCUCUUAUUGAAAUUCUUUUCUGACACUUGUUAGUUAUUGGAAACUUUCUUGAGUUCUAUAAAAGAUGUUGAAGGAGAAGGAAACCCCCGGAAUGUAAGCAUUUCAAUUCUUAAGGCAAAUAAAAACUAAAGAUUACUCCCAAAGUUUUUUAAAGCUCAAAACCACAAAAGCAAACAAUAUAAACAUAUACCAAUGUUGUAGCCCAACACUUACACUCAUUGUCAUUCAUCAAAUAUAACUAAACCUUAUGCCAAAAUAAUUAACAAAUCCCUGUACAACAAAGCUUACUCAAAACUUCAAUAAAAGCAAAAUAAACAUCACCUUUUUUUCAAGCUUGCGAACUUGAUCUCGAGAUUCUCUUAAGGCAUAGCUCUAGUUAAGAGAGAGGGAGAGAGAGAGAGAGAGAUCAUGGAUCAUGAUAAAUUAAGAAAAAUAAAAUAAAUAAAUAACAGAUGCUCUCAAAUUUACAUACUUAAAUGUUAAUAUAUUUUCUCCAUAAACGAAAUAUGAAGGAAAUAGUAUGAAUAACCAAAUGAAAUUAAAACAUGAAGAUGAGUGUUUAAGACAAAAUUAUUAGGAUUCUAAAUGCAAAAAGCAUAUGUAAGUAACAAAAUCAAAACCAGCAAGUUUAUAAGGAGCAAACCGCAGAAUCUUUGACCGAGCCAUCUUCAUCUACAGCAUUCAGUAUCAGUUUAAUCAAUGAUUGAUUUACAACCAUUCCCAUUAUCUACAAUCAAGGUUUAAAUAAGAUGUCACAUUAUAUAACAGACUAGAGCAGUGGUUUAAGGUCAUACCCAGAUACUUAUUUACCACGUUUGUUAGAGGCAUAAAACGUGUAGACCAAUCAACAUCUUCUUUGAUUGCUGUUUUCAAAUUAAAUUGCAACAUAUCAGCAAACUGUAGAAGAGCUGCAAUAGCUAUUGCUUCAUUUCCAUCCAUUGCUAGACUCCUUUGAGCAUGUUCUAUUGCCGAUUUCACCUUUAACAAACAAGACAAAGCACUUUGAAGAAGAAAGGAGUAAUUACAGAAUUGCAAGGUAGCGGAUUCUUCUCCUAUGUCAAUAGAUCUGUACAAAACUUUGUGGAGAUAUAAAUGCCAAAAUAAAAUCAGUAUCUGUUCUUGGAUUUGCUCGAUUGUUAUCUGAAUACAGCUGAUGUGCUUCAGAGGAAGCUUCCUACUUCAUGUCUUUUGCCUCCUAUUUGCUGUUUUUGCCAUGCGGAAGGGGAAUCUCAAUCAUAUAUUUUGUGAAAGUUCUUUCUCAACAGCUUGUUAGUUUGACCGUCAUUUAUUCCUAGUCUUGUUAGAGUUUGUUUCUAUGUUUCUUAUUGAGUUGUAAUGGCUGUGCUUAGCCCCCAAUUGGACUUUAUUUGUUGUUUGAUCAUUUAUUUUGUUGGAUAUGAUGAGGGUGCUAAGGGGUACAACCUAGUUGAGAUGCUCAGGUAUUGUUUGGUUUGUCUUGUUUGCUCAUUGUCUAAUCCUCUUGUACUAGCUUUUGUCUCAUUGUUUAUCAAUAAACGAGGUUGUUUCCUUUUCAAAAAUAAAAAACAGCUUGUUGGUACAAACUACUCAGUAUCUUCAAUUUGCAGUGGAUGUUUUAUCCGACAGCCAAGAGUAUUGGUUUCCAGUUUUAUUGGGCUUGUCUUUACCUUCAAGGCCUCAUUUAUGGAUCAGUGCAGUCAAAUGUUGUUCUUUAAUAGAUCGAUUUGGUUCUUCUCAUCUUAAAAGCUUCAUCAUGGUGAUGUUUUCUUCCCAAAACCUCCAAUGCUUUCUUUUUGCACUAUAUUUGUUUUAUUUUUCUUCUUCUUUGUGUUUUUCUGCACUAUGUUUGUUUGAAUUAAAAUGCCUUCACACGCCUUUAGUACUUUUCCUUUUACUAUAAGAGUUUGCAUCUUUUUAGUAUCAUUUUUUGUUUAAGAGAAUGAAAAUACAAUAACAACAACAACAAGAGAGUGACAUGAGUAACAACUUUUAGUUUUUGUUUUUUCCGGAAACAAUGUGAAAAAACACUAUGAUUUUGAAAAGAAAUAAAAUAUUAUAUUUCUCUUAUAGUUUAUGAAUCAAACACAAGAUCUUCUUAGACAAGGUGAAAAUCAUCCACCAAUAAAGUAAAAAGGAACAUAUAAAUUUAAAAAAUAUAGACAAUGCAAACAAUGCAAAAAAGAAAUAAUAUACAACUCAUGCUUACAAUAUAAAAUGAAAAUCCAACACUGCCCAUGUUGGAGCCUUUUGGGUAGUUAACGGAUUGUAUAGGCUGCUGGUAUUCAUUAUCUUUUGUGUUGAUAUUUUCUUUUUAUAGUUCGCUACCUUCAGUUACGAUUAGUUGUAGUAUAGGUGUGAUCAAGCCCUUCCUCUUUAGGUACAUUUAAAGGGUUAAUUUUCAUAUAACGGAUAUAACAAAAUUGCUAAGUUUUCUAAAGUUGGUUUUCAAGAUGGCUUUAAUAUUCAGCUCAAAUGAUGAAACAAAUUAUGGUUAGACCUUUUCAGGAAGAAGAUAUGCUUUCACCGAAUAACCAACUUUUGCAGUCGGCUUGUAGACCAGUUUGUCAAAUUGUCAUUUUUAAAGACUUAGUCUAUAUAUAGAAAAACCCAAAAGGGCAGGUUAGGAGAUUGAAGGUAAUUCGGUUGCCUUGCCUCUUGAGCACUGCAUUACUGAGGUAGGUGAGCAAAAUUAAUUAAAUUCUUUGGAUGAAUAUUCAGUAAUGGUGUCUUUGUCCUCUUCACUUCCCUUAGUUAAAAAAGACAAAGAGGCACCUACAAGUCAGUACAGCGUUUGACUGUUGAUAUCUCCAGAUUGAACUCUUUAUUGGCCAUCAAAGAAGUUAAAGACAAAAUACUGAUUCAUUGAAACUUCAACAUUUUGUACAAGGAAAAAACGUUCUUACCUUCCCAUCUUCUCAAAUUUCAGAUGAUUUCACAGUGGUAAAAAGGGAAAAUAAGUGAAUGCACUAACCAGAUGAAGGUUGACGCCACUUAAAUCUAAGCUGCAGCCACCAUGCUUGUGCAUUUCUACUGCCGCAUUAGUCUCAUCCAAAAGUCUAAGGCUUUCUUCAUAUGUCCAGUUCGAAGACCAAAGUUGGGCCUGUUCAUUUAACAAUAAAGUGAAUCAAAACUGCUUUAAAUGGAGCAUAAAGAAAUUUACUAUUGUAAUUAUAGAAAAUCAAGCUAAAAUUAUGCAGCUGUAAAUUAGAUAAUUAAUUUAGACUAUUUCUUUGUAUCAUGUAAUUUUUUCGCAUUCCUUAUUAAAUUUAAGUCUUCAACUGCCUCAUUUGUGUUCACACGUGCUUGGUUUGACUCCAUUUCUUCUUCUUCAGGUCGUCGAGACUAGCCAUUAAGAUACGUGCUUUCAAAAAAUCUAGGACAUAAUGUAUUUUUGGUCUUUGAGGUUUGAAGCUGAUGUCUAUUUGGUCUCUGAAGUUUCAAAAUGAACACUUUAGUCCUUGAGGUUUGAGAAAUAAUUCUAAAUGGUCUCUGAAGUCACAUUGAUCGUUAGUUGACUAACGGAAAAAUGAUAUGGGGUUAAAUAUAAUUAAUCAGCAAACUCAUUUGGCAAAAAUGAUUAUAAUAUUGAACUUUUUUUUUAUGAUGUGGCAUCCAACCUCACUCUCUUCUUCCACCUCCCAUCACUGUGUUAAAAAAAAAAUUGUUGUCCCUGUUGUUAAUGAAGAACAAAGAUGAAUUUAACCAUCGUCUUUCUCCAAAUCCCAUCACUAUGUUGCAAAAAAAAAUUCUUGUCCCUGUUGUUGCACCAAUUGUGGUUAGCUCUAUAAAUAUAUUGAAGAAAAAGAAGAAAUUAUGCAGAUAUACAGGGAAAUAACAUAUUCUAGUUUUCUAAAUCAGAAAUAAACUCCUGCAAUUCUAAUUAAGACGAUCGGCAAAUUGCUUGAGAAGCGAGUCCAUGACGAACUUGUAAGCUGCUUCAGUGGGAUGGAUGCUAUCCCAAAACAUGAGUUUUGAUGGGUUUUCACAUAUUGUACUUGUUUCAAUGUUACAUAGAGGUCCUGCUUCUGCCAUCCCAGUACCACAGGGCACAGCAGCCUGCGUUAACGUGUGCAAAACCUGUUCGACAAAAUGCCCCAAUGAUAAAAUUCAGGUAAAGAUGUGAUUUGAUACUUGGUUGUCCUUAAAUGAUUUAUUGGCUUGCUGUAAUUGUGAGGAUCACUGACCAUGUCCAUGAGGGGAGUGUAAAUGUCACCAUAUAGAAUUGUGCUUCCAGGAAGUUGUGGCUUUUCUUCAUUAGUCCUCAAGGUUAAAUUCAUCUUUGUUCUUCAUUAGCAACAACAGGGACAACAACAAAAAUUUGCAGCAUAGUGAUGGGAGGUUGAAGAAAGGGUGAGGAGAGGGAUGCCACAUAAUAAAAAAAGUUCAAUAUUAUAAUCAUUUUUGCCAAAUCAGUUUGGUGAUUAAUUAUAUUUGACUGCCACUUCAUGGUUUCAUUAGUUGUGACUUCAAGAACCAUUUAGAAGUACAACUUCGUGAACUAAAUUGUUCAUUUUAAAACUCGAGACAAGUAGACAUCAACUUAAAACCUUAAGACCAAAAGUUCAUUUUCGCUAAAAAUGAAGUCUAGUUAAGGAAAAUUCCCCAUAGGAUUCCUGAGAAACGGACUCAAGCAGACUAGCCCAUUGAGAAGCAUGCUCUCAAAAACUCUGCGAAGCCUAAUCAAACAGAACUACGCAAAAACUGAACCAGUGCAGGAGUGAGAAAAAAUCACGCACCACCAAGCUUUAGGGAUCGGAACCAAAAAUAAGCUUCAAAUUUACCUCCUCUUCUUACACCCAACACAGAGAAACCACGGCCAGAAAAGGUUCAAGAUCUCCAAUCUACUCUUUCUAAGUUGUUUUAUCAUUUUCUCUCGUAUCUUUUCUUCGUCAAUGAAAAUAAUUUAUUUCCUUUUCCAACAACAUCAAAGAAACAAACAAGCUUAUACCUUGCUCCUAUACUUCUUCCCACAACAAAAUUAAACUCACCACUCAACCUCCAGUUUGAGGGGUUAUAACAGAGCAAUUGCUUGAAUGAAAUUUUGUAGCAGUUGAUAUUUUUAGAUUCGGAUUUUUUUUUUUCAAUCGGUUAGUUAUGAUGGUAUCCAACUUUCAGGAAUUAGUUUGGCCUUGCUAGGUAGUAGGUAACAUGCAUUCAAUCCUAUAAAUCAAAAGGUGAAGCAGUGUUCUUCAUAGGAGAAGUAGAAGCAUGGCCAAGAAAAUGAGAACUUAGCUGCGAUACAGACCUUGAUAGCUUGACGCCCCAGAGAAGUGCGGGCGAAGGAAGCAACUGAAUCGCAAAGUUUAUCCCAUUCUAGCGCUCUGAGACUGUCCAGGCGGAUUGAAUGUUGGGUUGUGUUAUCUCUAAUGUCAUUGCUGACGGAAAUGUUUGCAGAGAGGGAGAAAUGUAGGGACGCAGUUCGAUUCCGGAAUAUAACCGGCACCUGCAGUGGCAGUGUAGAAUAACUGAUCCAGGUCCAGGUGAGGGGAUGCCGGAGAAAACAGAGCAUCGUUUUACCCUUCCUUUCCUUGCACCUACGAGGACGAGAGUGCUAUGUCCUGACAAACUCACCACUCCCGCUAAUACCUACCUAUCUCUACGUUCCAACGCUGAUACCACAUCUACUUUGCAUUCUACUAUUGAUUUUCUACUCCCAAAAAAUAUAUUCUGAUAAAUUGUACCCAUAAUUCAAAAUUUAAAAAAAAAACCAAUCGAAAAUUGAUUUUUCACCUGCUUUCUAAAGUUUAGUUUUUUUUAUUCUACUAUAUUAGGAUGAUGGUACCUUUUUCCCUUCUAAGAAAUCUACGGUAUAUGUAUUAGGGGUGUUCGCAAUUCGAUUUGAUUUGAAGCUAAAAUCGCACCGAAUAGCUUAUUUGUGUCAAAUCAAAUGGAAAUCGAACCGAAGCAAAACCACUUAUGCAUAAAUAAAAUCGAAGCAAAACCAAAUCGUUUAUGCAUAAAUAUUAUAAUUAAAAUCCUUUAUGAACAUUGUACAUAAAUAAAAGUUUUACAAAGUUUCAAACAUGGAUUAAAUUAAUUCCUAUAAUGUUACAAGCAUAUAAGUUUCAAAUAUUGAAGUUUGAAAGUCCAUCAAAACAUUGAAAUUUCAAAGUCCACCUAACAUAAUAUAAUAGUUCUACGGUUAUACAAACUUUCUUUACGUUCUUAUUCUUCUCAUUCCUCUCCUUGAUUUUUUUCUCUAUACCCGCUUGGAAGUCUUAAAAAAGUUUUAUUAUUAACAUAGUAAUGGCAUAAUCAAUAUAUUUGAAUUAUGAAUUAUACAAAUUAAUUAGAAAGAAUGUUCUAUAGAUACGAACCUUUUUCAACUAUUGCAAUCCCCUCCAAGUUUUUUUUUUUAAGAUCAAUAGAUUCAAUAUUAAUUGUUUUUGAACGUAGCCAAUUUUGUCCACAUACAAGUGCCUCAACUGUGGUUGGAGCUAACGUGGAACGAAAUGAAUCAAUCACUCGUACAAACUUCAUCAAGACAACUUCUUUACAUUCUUGUUCUUCUCCUUCUUCUCCUUCUCGUUCAUCUCCUUGACUUUUGCCCCUAUACCCGCUUUGAAGUCUAAAAAAAUCUUAUUAUUAACAUAGUAAUGACAUAAUCAAUAUAUUUAAAUUUUGAAGUAUACAAAUUAAUUAGAAAUAAAGUUCUAUAGAUACGGACCUUCUUCAACCGUUGCAAUGUCCUCAAAGUAUUUUUUUUUUUAAGAUGAAUAGAUUCAAUAUUAAUUGCUUUUAAACGUAGCCAAUUUUGCGCGCAUAUGAGCGCCUCAACUGUGGUUGGAGCUAACAUGGAACGAAAGAAAUCAAUCACUAUGCCACUAGUACUAAAUGAAGACUUAGAAGCAACUAUGGAUAUCAGAAUUGCUAAAAUAUCUCUUGCAAUUCGACUAAAAACCUUAUAUCUUGAAGAAUUUCCUUUCCACCACUCUAAGAUAUCAAAGUUCUCCUCAUGUGCAAUACGAUAGUCCAAUAAGUAAAUAUCAACUUAUGUAUCCACACUUAGGACAUCCUCUUCAUCCAUAUUUUCAAAAUGGAUACGAAAAACGUCUGAAGCAUAAGAAGAAGUUCUAGAUGUAGCGGAAGUAGUUAUAGAUGUACUGAAAGAGUUGCUACUACUAGUAGUAGCACUAUAAACUGAAGGUUGACUCAUAUAUGUACAAUCCUUAAACACUUGAAAUUGAGAUGAUGCAAUCGGGCUUGAAGAUGAUUCAUGGCUAUGAUAGUUUAAAGAAUAUUCACUAAAAAAUCUUCUCAAAACAGAUUUCACCUUAUUCCCCACUUCUUUUGUUGUACCCAUGUCAAAUAAUUGAGUCAAAGAAUACAUAAGAGAUUUUAUCUUGUAACGUGGAUCCAAAACAAAAGCAGUAUAAAAAAAGAAAUUUGUUUUUGCGAUCUUCCCCUAAUACUUAUCGUACUUCUCUUGCAUUUUCAAAGUCAUGUCAUGCAAUAACUUAUUAUCAGGACCACCUACACUUGCAUGUUCUUUUAUGCAAUUCUGGACAAUACUAAUCUCAUGGAAGAUAGUGUUGGAAGUAACAUAAAUAGACCUUGAAAGCCUAAUAGUUACUUCAUAGAAAACAGACAAAAAUUUGAUAAAUAUUCUUGCAAUUUUCCAAUCUCUAGAAUUUGAUAAAUAUUCUUACAAUUAAAUUCAAUAUAUAUAUGCAACAACACCUAACAUGCAUGAAAUCCUCAUCUAACACAAAUGCAUGUUUGAAACAUUUCUUUAGAUAAGCAAUAGUUGUAUCAUUUGAUGAAUCAUUAUCAAUGGUUAAGGUCAAUACCUUAUCAAUACCCCAAUGUUUCAAACAUUUUUCCACCUCUCUUCCUAUUGUUUCCCCUUUAUGAUUUUCAAUAUAAGAGAUAUUAAUUAUUCUCUUAUGAAGUUUCCAACUUCUAUCAACAAAGUGUGAAGUCAAAACCAUAUAAUUAACAUUUUGAAUUUACGUCCAAGUAUCAAACAUAAAUGGAACUCUAUAUUCUUCAUUCACAAAAACAUCUUUCAGCAGUUCUCCCAAGUUAACAUAUCUUUUCCAAAAUAUCUAUAGCAAUUGUAGUUCGAGAAUGAAUAAUAAAACUUGGUUCUACUAACAUCAAAGUUCCUUCAAUAAACUUUCUAAAUAUCUCAUUCUCCAUAAAUCUAAAGGACAACUCGUCGACUAUGAUCAUCAGAGCAAUUUGUCUUCAAGCAUUCUCAAUGGUAAAUAUCUUAUAAUUAUUUUUUUUACUGUCCCCAUCAUUGUCUUUAUUUAGAAAUACUAACUUUGUUUGAGUUAUAUCUACUUUAUUGUCUUUCAAUUGAUAAGGAUUUUUUUAUAGUAAUGGUCAAGAUGUGUCCUCAUAGUUGAAUUUCUAUUCCUUCUUAGAUGGCAUGCAUACACCACAUUACAAUAAUUGAAAUUAUCAUGUGAAUCAUCAUCACUAUAUUCAGAACAUUUAGUAAAAUUAUAUCAUACCAUAGAAGUAUUUUUCCUCUUCUUUCGAGAUGGUUGGAGUUCUGGUGGUGGCACGAUAACCUCAAUAACGACAUCAUUUUCAUUCACACUAGAACAAUUAUUGCUAUUGCUUAUGGUGUUCGAUUUAGUGUCUGUGUUUUCAUUGUUAUUGUCAUCGAUCAAACUUGUUGACAUUCUGCCUACGCCUACAAUAGGGAUAAAAAGGUCUUUAAUUAGUAUGGAAAAAAAUGUCUUUUAUUAGCAUGAAAAAUAUAAACAUCUUACACUUGAGUUAUCUGCACCAAUGAAACAGUCUCCAUUGAAUAGUAUCCACGAUUUGCACCAAUGAAACAUUGAUUAAUGAUAAUGAGUAAACAAUAACUUAUUCCAAACAAAUAGAAAGUCCUUAUAGUCAGAAGUCCCCAUAAAUAGAGGGGUCGAGAAAAAGAUUAAGCAGGCAGCAGAAUGGGGUGAAGCAGAUAAUGUUUCUUCGAAGUGAAGAAGUGUCAAGCUAGAAUAGGCGUAGGCUUUUGAGUAUGAGAUUGAAGGGAUAAAAGCCCUAGGCAGCAUAAUGCUUUACAUAACCAUUUCUCAAUUUAAUUUGGGAAUCUCAAAGUACCAAUACAUGGCAAAAUAAUAUACAAACUAAUUUUUUUUACUAUAACUUAAAGGCUAAGCAUUCUUUCUAACUAUAGAUUAGAGAGAUAACAUACUUAAAACAUAACUAUACUUAACUUCUCAGAACUCUUUUUUGUUUUAUUUUACUAGGUCAUUCUCCACCCAGAGUUAUUUUUGGUUCAUUCACUUAAUAAUAUAUAGUACCUUGAUCUCUUGGUUGACUUGAACUCACCAAAGGACGAUUUUUUGCAAAAUGUCCUGAUUUCUUACAUCAAAAGCAAAUGUCUCCUCCUUUGAGACAUUGUCCAAGAUGAUCUUUGUUGCAUUCUCUACAAAGAGGUUUACUGUUGCUGCUUGCAACCAUCUUCUGGUAACCUCUUCUUGAGUUUUGAGAUCAAAACGAGCUUCCUUUUCUAAGUCCACUCUUAAAAUUAUUUUCUUUCAAUACUCCUAGGCCGAAGCUCUUUUUGUUUUCUUGUUUCACUCCAUCAUAACUCAUUUUUAAUCAAAAUGAGAAUCCAUAACAUCAAACUUCCUUGAUGAUAAACUUUGUUUCACUUGUAAUGCAAUUUCAAUCAAAUGUGAGAAAUCCUCCCACUUUGAUGUUGAUGUUACUGAAGUCUGAAUUUUCUGUCUAAGCCCAUUCUCGAAUUGUCGGCAUCUAUCACUUUCAGAUGCCACAAUUGGUCCAAUUUAACGAUAGAGUUUCAUAAAUUUCCUAUUGUACUCAACUAUUGUUAAUAAAUUUUGCUUUAAUUUUAGAAAUUCAUUCCUUUUUGUUUCACAAUAGAUCUUUGUAUAAUAUUUAUCUUCAAAUAUUCCUCAAAAUACUAUCCAACUCAUAGUAUGUGUAUCUCUUCUUCUAGCUUUAAUUGAAUCCCACCAUCCUUCUGCUUCCUUUUACAGUAGGAAGGUUGCUAACUUAAAUUUCUUCUCUUCGGGGCAAUCCAUCACCUUAAAACACUUUUCUAAUAGAUUCAAUCACACUUCUACGUCAGCCAAAUUUGUGCCUCCUUAAAAAAUCGUUGCACCUAAAGAUUUCAAUCUUUCGAUGUUAUGUUUCUUAUCAGACCUAAUUUGCAUUGUUCCCAUUGACUCCAUAACUUCUUGGAACGUCUGCUGGUAGCUUUAAUCAUCCAUUCCAUCUUGUCUCGUACUUCAUUCAUCUUUAAUCAUCCAUUUAUAGCUUAUGCAUAACACACACACACAUAUAUGUUUAUAGCUUAUGCAUAACACACACACACAUAUGUUUAUAGCUUAUGCAUAACACUUUAAACUUUCAAUCUUAGUUCAGCUAUCAUAUUUUAAUAAACAACAAGUAAGUAACAAACAUACUUUUUAUUUAUUAAUUUCAUAAGCUUUCCUUACAUACAUAAGCACAGAUAAUAUACAAUUGAUUUACAUAAGCGCACAAGAAACAUACACUUUUUACAUCUUUUUACAUUUAUUUCAUUCUCUUUUUCUUUCAGAUAACCUAAUGAAGUUUAUCUUUUCCCUUAAUUGAUGUCGCUACUUGCGUCUAAUAGAUGGAGCUACAGAUAUUACUCUCAUCUCUACUUGUCUAUCCAAACUAAAUGCUAAAGAGUUGUUCUUAUGUUGUUCUAUUUGAUGGUAGUAAUAACAUGAAACUUUAUCGAUAUUACACUUAUCCCUAUGAAACCACUUACACUUAUAACACUGCUUCUUUCUCUUUAAUUAUGAAAUAACUUCUCCUUCUUCAAAACAAGAUCCUACUGACUCUUGUUUGCUUUCUUCCUCCAUCUCUCUCAAUCUCACCUUUCUAUAGUGUUUGAAAAAGUAUUGUCUUCCAAACAUACUUUGGAAUACAUCCCAAUCCUGUUUGGCUUUUUCAGUCAAAUCUUCCUUUAAUGAGAACCACUAUUAUUUUGCAUUGUCAAUAAGCAUAGAUUCUACUAAUGUUACCUUUAUAUCAUCCUCACAACUAAUUAUUUCAAGGCACUCUCUCACCCUAUGCAUCCAUUCCUCAACUUUCGUAGGGUAGAUUGAACAACCCUACUUUUCUACUCCAUAAAGUUCUAGUCAUCCUCUUACAUUAUUGUUUUCCAUGGAUUUGUGAGUAACAAAUAUUUUCUUGUUUUAAUGCUUGAAAUAAUAAUAGAGAAUACUUACAUGGAUUUUUGAAGAGAUUGUGUCUCGAUUGCUGCUUACAUAUGUUGCUUGCAAGACAAGUUUUAUUGAAAAUUCAUUUUAUAAAUUAUUUGUUUUCUAUUUUAUAGGAAAUAACUUUUUAAAACAAAUUUUGACUUUUAGCGCUUUGCUUCCUAGGAACUUUAUUGCUUUGAUACCAAGUUGUCACAUCAUACCACGUCUUGGCCCAAAAUGCAGGUGCCUGGGGUGAGGUGUGACAAUAGGUCAAGAAGGGAACUUGUUAAGGGAGUACUAAAGUGCGGACUUUAACGAUCGAAAGGUGCUCAAUGCUUCUGAAGAGUGGCGAACGUUUGGUCGUUGUUAGAAACCACAAAAAUGCAUUCUCCGCAUAGAAAAUGCGACGAGUUUAAGAACUUUUGGUGCUGGUCCCAUAAAGAGGUCAAUGUCUAUGCCCUAGACUCAGUUUUUAUCUUGGGGUCAGAAGUGGUCAUUACCAAUUUCAUUAACUUGUCUUGGUCUAAAGCCUUUACAACUUCGAGAUUCUUUGAACAAGGACUUCCUUUUACAUUCCUAGCAUGGUUGAUUCCACAUUUACCCAAAGUAUAGGUUGAGAAGCGAGCUCGUUGGGGGAGAACUAAGGUAUAGACCAAAAGGAUCGAAAAGGUGGCCAAUGCUUCCUAAGAGUGGCAAACAUUUGGCUUGUGUCAAAAACUACCGAAAAUGCAUUACCCACAAAGAAAUUGGGAUGAGUUUAAGAACUUCAGUUUCGAUCCUAACAAAAAGAUCAACGACUAUGACCCAGACUCGAUUUUUAUUUUGGGGUCAGUAGAGGUCCUUUAACUAUUUCUUUGUUUUUUCUUGGUCUAAAGCCUUUCCAGCUAUGAGAUUCUAUGACCAAGGACUUCUAUCUACAUUCCUUGCAUGCUCCUUCCACAUUUACCCAAAGUAGAAGUCAGGAAGCAAGCUCGUUGGGGGAGUACUUAAUACGAAUCAAGCAACCAAAAUUUAAUCAAAUGAAAAAGUUGAAGAGAUGCAAUGGUUGGAAGUUGAAGAGUUAUUUUGGCAACCCAAAAUCAUAAUAUUAAAUGUUCAAGGAAUUAUGUAUUUAUGUGUUUUCAAUUAUAAUGGCAGUUGAAAGGACAUGAAAUUAAAUGUCGUUACCUUUCAUUUCAUAUUUUAAUUAGUAUAAAUAGGGUUGUAAUUUCCACAUUUUAAAAAAGAAGAAUUUGGGAUGAAUGGAAUAUGAAAAUUCUAGUAUGUUAAAUUUUAUUCUUGUGUGUUCUUGUGAUAGAAUGCACAAAUAUUUGGAGCAUUCAAGUGAGAUUUGAUCUACCUUACCUGUGGAGUGUUUUGAAGAUCGAGGGUUGAUGGAAGUUUCUAACUUUAUUCGAUCAUUGGUUUCUUAGAUCAUCUAAGCAAUAUGUUUCUAGGCUAUCUUAGGGGUUGAAAUCAAAUUGAUUUUGGAGCUGUUGGGGUUGUAUUCUUUGAGUCUUCUUGUUUAACAUGGUUCUUAGAACCCAUGCUCAGGGGUUUCAUAUCAGUACUAAGGUGCAAACCAAAACAAUCGAAAAGGUGGCAAUGCAAGAAAGUGGCAAACAGUUGACCAAUGUCAGAAACUACUAAAAAUUCAUUUUCCACAAAGAAAAUGAGAUGAGUUUAAGAACUUGUGGUGUUGGCCCCAAAAAAUGCGAACGCCUAUGCCCCAUAUAGUUUUUAUCUUGAGCUCAGAAGUUGUUCUCUAACAGUUUCUUUGUCUAAAGCCUUUCCAGCUACAAAAUUCUAUGAACAAGGACUUUUGUCACCAUUUCUAGCAUGGUCCUUUCCACAUUUACCCAAAGUUAUGUCAGGAAGCAAGCUUGUUAGGGGUGUACUAAGGUGCGGACCAAAAAGAUGGAAAAGGUAGUCAAUGCUUCCAAAUAGUGGCGAAGGUUUCGUCAGUGUCAGAAACAAUCGUAAAUGCAUUCCUCUCACAGAAAAUGGGACGAGUUUAAGAACUUUUGGUUUCGAUCCCAAGAAAAGGUCAACGACUAUGUCUCAGACUCAGUUUUUAUUGUUGGGUCAAUAGUGGUCCUUUAAGUAUUUCUUUGUUUUGUCUUGGUCUAAAGCGUUUUCAGCUAUGAGAAGCAAAUACUUUUUUAAAGUCAAGAAAGACUUGAUUUUCAAUACUUUUUUUUAUCUUGAAUCACUUCCAAUAAAGUUAUUUAAGUUUUUCAAACCUAAAUUUUAUUACUCAAUCAUACAUAGAUACUUUAUCCACAAUUCAUGAAAUGACGAAAAGAUUUGUGAUGAAGAUCAAUUUGAAGAGAGAACGUCUAAUUCACUUAAAUACGAAAUAAUAAUUCUAAAAAUAAAUUUCUUUUAAGAACUCACGAAUGUUUUGCGAGAGCUCAAUAUUUUACUGCUCACGUAAAAGUAAUACGAGUUUUACAAUUUUAGCUAUUUAGGUAUUUUUUUUCUUUACCUCAUUCUCUCCCGCGCGCAAGACCCUCCCCUCCGCCGUUUUUCCUCACACUCACAGAUCCCGCUCGGUGACCCUUCGCCCGUCCGCAGCUCUUCUCUUCGUUCACUCUCCCGUCGUUCGCACUUCGGUAAGUUCUUUUCUCUUUUCUUUCCUUUUUUUACUCUCCAAUUGUAAGAUAAUUGUUUUGAUGGGUUGUUGCUUAACUGCAUCAUUCAAAUUUGCUUUUGAUCUAAAUUUCUUUGCCAUGGUCGGAAGCUUUGAUCGGCUGGAACAGGGUAGUUUUGUUUAGAUGAGUAUCAUCCUUACUGGUUCUUUCAAGCUAUGGCCAACCUGGUGACCUUUUUGGUUCUUACUUUUGCAUACUAAGCUUUUCUUUUCAUCAAAUGUUUUUUCUAAACUUUAACUGGCGAUGGAAGAUUAUCAGGACUUUGUUUUUGGUUGGCCAUUUGACCAUUGGUGUGUGGCAGGCAAGAAAAACUGGUUGGCUGAGCAACAAUGCUUACACAUAUUUUUAGAGCAUUUUUUUUACAUUUAGUAUGCUUAUGUACCUAUAGUAUAGGGAUAUAUAUAUGAGAAUUUGAGCAAAGUUGUUUUAAAUAAUAAAUUUUGAACAAUUUUUUUUCUUUAAUUUUUCCGAAAGUUCCUCUCUUUGUGCUUAAACCUAUUUCACGUUAAACCCCCGCCCUCCCAUUACAUGCUACUCCCCCCUGCCGCACGAAUUUCCUAUCCAGAUAGUUUCUGAAUGUUUGAAUUUAUAGCAGCUUCAAGUUUAGAAGGGUUUAGGGUUUUCAAUCGCUGGACCAAGAUGAAGCAAGUAGUGGGGAUGGUGGUCUCAAACAAAAUGCAGAAAUCAGUUGUCGUUGCAGUGGACAGAUUGUUUUAUCACAAGCUCUAUAAUCGCUACGUUAAACGCACUUCCAAGUUCAUGGCUCAUGAUGAGAACAAUCAAUGCAAUAUUGGUGAUAGGGUGAGAAUUUAAUUCCAUCUUUACUUCCCCAAUUAAUUUGUUUUUCUUUAUUUCAAUUCACUUGAUCAAGUUGUGGACUCGAUGUAUAGUUUCAGUUAAAACAUCGUGCAAAUUUGUUCGACAUCACGGUAGUACUGGAUGAAAUGGAUAGCAUAUAGCAUGUUGUGGUGGUCGUUCUUUAUGUUUGAAGAGUUUAUUUGUUAAAUUACAUAUGCAUUAUGUUAAUUUAUAUAAUUCUUGUUUCAUUUUCAUUUCUCUUGAACAUGUGCUUGGGGUUUGUUAGUAUUUAACGUUUCUUGUUAAUUCACUGUUGAAACAAAUUGAAUUUUAUAACCUCAGGUUAAAUUAGAUCCUUCGAGGCCAUUGAGCAAGCAUAAACAUUGGGUGGUUGCUGAAAUUUUGAGGAAAGCAAGAAUUUACGAGCCACCAUCACAAGAUAAACAGUCUGUUUCAGACAAAAGCAAUGUUUCAGCUCCUUCAACCACUUAAGGUUUGAUUGAUACACUUGUUAUUUUCUUUUUAGAAAGCCAAACUUGUAUCUUAUUGAGUUCUGGAUCGUCCUGGGCGAUCAUAAUCACUUGAAUCUCUGAUGACUAUUUGCGGCAAUUCUUUGUUUCCAUUUAGAGUAUAUUGCAGUUGCACGUGAUUGUUAUUUAUUAGAAACUUUACUAGAAUACAUCUUUUUAUUGUUAUGUGAACAAUAUGUAUUACCAUCUUUCUUGAUGGCAUUGUAGGUUCAUGAGCAGUUCUUUUUUUUUUUUCUCGAUAUAAUCAAACAGCUUUCACUGAGAUAAAAAUGAAAGAAUACAAGGACAUACAAAAAAACCAGCCCACCAAGCCACCUAAGUAAAAUACUGUCUAUGGAGUAGUUACAAAAGUUCUUCGAAAUCGUAACCAAAAAAGACAUGAAAUCUAAUAAAGGACCAAAUUUCACUAAGAUCCCCCUCUCUCUCUUGGAACACCCCAUCAUUCCUCUUGCCCCAAAUGUCCCAAAUAACCGCGUACACGCUGACAAGUCAUAAAAAACCCCCUUUAUCUCUGAAAGGCGGAUGGAGGAGGAACUCCUCGAUCGUCGCUUUGAUGGUACGUAAACCAGCAAAGCUAACGCUGAACUCCAGAAGGAAGGAGCUCCACACGGCCCUCGCAAACUGGCAAUCCCAAGAAAGAUGAUCAAGAUCUUUCUCCGCCUUUUGACACAACAUGCAGCAAAAAGGUGCGACAAGGGAAGAUCUUCUCCUAACAAGCCUAUCAACAGUAUUAACCAAUAGACACAUAUAAUGUCUUUGUGGGCAACUAAGAUGCCCUUCCCAUUUGAAUCUCUUUGUUUGAAAUUUGAUGAUAACGUUGUCUUAUUUUUGCUGUAUGUUAAUGACUUGGUGCUUGUAGUGAACCAUGAAACACAUCUUGCCUUUUGAAAAUGCAGUUCAGAAAGUUUUGCUAGCUUAGAGCCUAGUAUUUUCUUUGCUUUAUUUUUCCUAUUAGGAGUUUAUUUCAUUUUCCUUUAAAUGUUUCUUCUAUCUUUUUGUUAUGAGGAGUUUGCAUCUUACCCAAAAAAGGGACAUAACGAUAGUAGUUCAUGGGGGUUCUUUCAUAAUGAUUGAUUUUAUGUUCAUUCUGCCCUCCAAUUGUUUGCAAACGCAUUGCAUUCAUUCACCCCCUUUUAUCUAUAUAAUUCAGUGUUUUGAUGAGCUAGUUGGCUGUCUUUAAAUACUCAUGGGUGAUUGUUCAAGAUUUUUAUUUGAAGUUUGAUUAAUAGGAUACUUGGUCUCCAGAAAGUCCUAUCUUGUUCCUAGCGAUUGUGGUUGGAUUGAGAUUAAAAACAUGUUUUCACGUAUCAUUUUAGAAUUACUAACCUUAAAAACCAGCAUGGAUUGGCUAAUGGCCAACAAGGGUGAAAGUAUAUACCUAAGAUUCGAAAUCAUACAAGUGUUUGCUCGGCAACCGAAUGCAGUAUGGUCAAAUGGUUCUAAGAGGAAACCUUCAACAUCACCGAGGAUUCUUUGGAGGUUUUAAGGGUGUGAUCGUAUCAGUGCUGGGUCUUGUGAAAAAAAUCAAAGUUAAAAAAGAAAAUAUAGUGGUUCUCUUACAGUGAAAAUAGGGUUUUCAAGGGUGCUGGUCCAAUAACAAUGUCCUUGGUUCCUAAGAGAGCUACAUGGUUAUUAUGGAGCCAUUUCAGUGGAUUUUUGUUGACAGAAGCUCCAUAUUGUUCAUUGAGUUCAAUACGCUAUGGGAACCUUUCAUUUUCAUUUACAAUGCAGAGAAGAAAGUUUCUCUGUUGUCCAAAGUUCCCUGAAAAAAUAAGAAAUGGAAAAUGGUUGAUUCAUGAAGUCAAAUCAAUAGACUUCUCAACUUUUGACCGUGUUUCUUUGAGGGGAAGAUGCAAGCAUCUGUAGCACCUUGAUUUCUUGGAAGUUGGAGGGUGCAAAGCAAACAUUUUCUCAAAGGAGGCUUUUAAGGUACUGUUGAAGAUUUUUUCAAAUCAUGGGACAUCUACUCAACAUAUAAAUAGUGACCAAUUUUGCCUCUAAUUAGUCUCCCUUUUGUACAUAGUGGUGUGAUUAAAUGGGAAAAAAGGGCCUUUAAUAAGACGGUAUUGCCCAUCAACUACCUCCAGGUAAAAGGUUCAAUUAGCUCCAUCUUUCAAGCCCAUUUGGUCUCUAUCUGGACUGGAGAAGGUUUUGUACCCUUUCAACUGCAAGAUCAUGUGGAUGAUUCCUAAUGCCUGUCUGUGUAGAAAUAGCCAUCAAUUAGUUGAGGCAUUAUAAUCUUAACCAACGGGUGUAGCCUGAUAAGUUCGAAUUCCACCUAUAUAUUAUUGAAUAUUUUCUUUUUUCUUUGUUUUAGUACGAAAGGGGUGGAGGUACGUGGGUUGGAACUUACCUUGAGAGGAGUGCAUAUUUAAUUAUGUGGUUUGCUUUAGUGAUUUUCAUGCUAGCUACCCUUUUGGGAGUUUGGUGGGAGAAUCUUCAAAGAUGAGUGAUCGGGAUUUAGGUGAAAUGAAUAAGGAAGAAAAUCUUUAAAGAUGAGUGAUUGAUGGAUGGUUUUAUAUUUCAUUAUUGUUUGUCUCUUCUUGUGCCUCGCCAGUUUUUUCAGUAACUGUUUUUUUUAUGGUUCAACCUAAUGGGUCAUGCAUGUAUAUAAUUUUUGUCAACUCAGAUAAGUUGACGCCCUCUCCCUUCUAUUAAUUUCUUUCAUCAAUGUAAAAAACUGCAAAUCUGUCUCGCAUUUAUGUAAAAACAUUUUCAAUAAUAUAUCUGUUUGCCUAACCAUUUAACAGAAAACUACUGCAAACCACUACAAGACCAAAUUGGAUCUCUCAUUGCAUUGGCAAACUGAAGAACGAAAACUCUGGAGAAUGAACUACUUUCUGUAAGCGGUAUGUUUCUCAUAUCAAAGAUUUGUAGUUACAUUACCAUUUCGUUUUGGACUGUUGUGUGAACCUUCUUUUUCAUAUGAGGCAUUUCAUCUCCACAAGUUGUGAUGUUAAAAGUGCAUAAUAAACUUAUUAAAAAAGGUUCUAUCCAUCAGUUCAUAUGUCUGGGAUGAACUCAGAAGUCAGAAGAGAUCCAACUUUAUUCUAUAUUCAAUCUUCUUACUAUUCUUUUAUUGAUUCUGUUUUUCAUGUUUUAAUGAUACUUGAGUAGUUUUUAUCAUAAAAAUGAUAUCAUUAUUGAAUUUUUAAGGUUCAUCUUAUGUCUAAUUAGGUUUAGUUUGGAGAAACUGAAUUAGGAGUUAUUGAAGAUUUUGAUUAGGUUUGCAAUGGUAGGUUAGUUUGUAGUCAAGGUUGAUUUCACUAAUGUAAAGCAAAAUUUAUUGAAAUUAUUAAGCAUGAAAUUACUUUUGGAAAGGGAAACAAAUGAGUGAAAUUAAAUUCACAGCUAAACUAAUUCAAAUACCACAGAUUCUGCAUCUAAUAUUUUAAAGUUCAUAUAUAUUUUUUAACUGACAUUACUAUAAGUUUUAGGGUAUUUAUUAAUAAAUCUCUUUAAAAUCUUAGGACAUUUUGACUGACUUUUUCUGUCAAUAAUACUAAUAAUUAGGUUUUUUGAAGAAUUAUUAUGGAUUGCAAAGAACUUGAGAAAAAAAAAACUCAAAAGGACUAUGUGAGAUGAAUGAAUUAUGCUAUAUUUUGUAAAUAGUGUCUAUAUUUUUCUAUUUUUAUAAUGUUUCUAAAGGAUUAAGGCUAAAGAAACUUUUGGAAUUCAAAAUAUAUUUGGGAUAGUUGCAAUUCACCAAUUAGAUUCCAAAUAAUGAAAUAUAUUUUAAUAUUUUAAAAAAUUUAUAAAUAUAGUAAAAUUUAUCAAAUUCUAUCAACGAAGUGUACACCAACUUAAGCAAAGUGUACACCAAAUUAAGCAGUGUGAUUUCUGUUUUAUAAUUAAUUAAGCAGUCUUGUACUGUUUUAUAAAAUUAAGCAGUCUUGUACUGUUUUAUAAAAUUAAGCAGUCUUGUAGGUAAUUUUCAAACUACGUGGUUUUAUUUAAGUUUAGAAACUAAACUCCAGCUUUAAACAGCUUUCUUUAAACUAUUGGUCCUAAUUUUGUGGUUUAAUCUAAUUUUAAAUUAAAAUUAUUACAAAUAUAUAUUUGGUGAAAGUACAUGCAAAAAUAUAACCAAUUUUAAAAUCUAUCAUUACAAAGAGAAGUCUAUGAUAUCUAUAUAAAAUUUAAAAUUGGCUAUAUUUUGGUUCAAUUUGUUGACAAUGUCUUGAUUUUUAAUUGUAAUUUAUAUUUAUAAAUAAAUUAAUAAUAGUUUAUUUUUUACUAAAUCUUAGUAAAUAAGUAAGACUAGUUUUAGGGUGUGUUUGGUUGAGAUUCUAAAGUGUUUAAUUUUGUAAAAAAAAAAUUAUUUUUUAGAAAACGGUAGUGUUUGACAAAUUAAAAUAAUGUAUUUUUAAAAAAUUCAUUUAUAAAAUAAUCUAUUUUGGAGAAAUCUUUAAAAAUUAAAUUCAUAUCUAAACCUUUAUAAAAAAGUCUAACCAAACAUUACGUGUUUCUAAACUCAUUUCCAAAAAAGUGUUUCGGAAGAAAAUGUAUUAUUGAAAAACAUUUUUUUUAAUUACCAUUUUUUUACUUGAUAUAUCAAAUUAAACCCAAUCAUUCUUCUUUUUAUUUGUUCUAAAUGUUUUCCCAAAAAAAAAAAUCUAAACAGAAACAAAAACUAAACUAAAUAUUAUAUACCAAAAUAUUUUAGAAAUACUUCCAACUUUCAUUCACUUUAACACGGUAGAAAUAAGAAAGUAUGUUUGGAUUAUACACUAACAUAGAAAAUAAAUCAAGGUAGAUCUAUCAUUUUUUCAUAUAAAAACAUGUAAUAAAAUAAAAUAAAUAGAUCUAAGUUAAACUUAGUUAAUUAGGACGAAAAGGAAAAUGAGAAAAAUCAAGGGACGAUCAUCCACAGUGUCUUGAAAAAAAUUGGGGGUGGCAGAGGUGGGGUGGAGGGCGACAACCAUCCACACUUUGUCAAGAAAAAUGAGGGGCAUCGACUGUUCGUUUGCGAGCAAGAAAAAGUUAGGGUUGAAUAGUUCGCGUGGGGAAGUGAGGAAAAUGGUGACGGGGAAUGGAAGAGGUGGGCGACUGUGUGGGAGUGAGAAGGAUGAAGAACAUGGUGAGGUGGAAGGGAAGGGGUGGGCAACUGUGUGGGAGGAAGAAAAGAGAGCAAUAAAACAUGAAGAAGGGGGAGGGAAAGGGCAGCAACGUGGAGAAAGAAGAAGAAGAAGAUUUGGGGAAACAUCGUGAACUAGGGCAUUUUUUGUUUUAAACGAACUGCCAAUGGUUAUUUUAAAUCCAUCGGCAUUUAUUCACUUAAGCCGACGGUAAUAAUGCACUGUCGGCAUAUGUCUACAUAUGCGACAUAACAAAAAUAUGUCGUCGGCAAAACCUAUCUAUGUCAACGCUAUAAAUUGGAUUGUCGGUGAUUCAACUUAUUGCCGACGAUAAAAUAAUCUGUUGGCGUAUACCACUUCUACCAAUGAAAUUUAGGGGCGUUGGCAUGCGUUUCGUCGGCAAAGGCAAAAUUUCUUGUAGUGUAGCUCAAGUUCACAUUAAUUUGCAAUGACUUAAAAUCAACUAUAUGUGUUGCAUCUGUUACAUACUUUCUCAGCAUAAAGACAUGGAAUACAUCAUGAGUAGUAGAAAAUGACAGAGAAAAUGUCAAAGGGUAAACUACUGGACCAAUCUGCUCAAGAAUCUCAAAUGGCCCUAUAAAACAUGAACUUACCUUUUCCUUCUUCUCAAAUCUCACAACACCUUUCGUAAGUGCUACUUUCAGAAAAACCAUGUCUCCUAUAUCAAACUCGAGAUCCCAAAUAGUAAUGCAAUCCUCAAUUGGGUAUCUAGUAGAAAAAUCCUUACUUUAGGUUAUGCUAAGUUUCUUGCUACAAAUGAAACCACAAUAUCACCUAUUUUUGUAAAAAGAAAUCUCAUGGAUCAUGGUGAGAGUGGCCAAAGCUGAGAGGUGAGAGCUCUCAAAAUUGAUCAUGAACUCAGUUUCUUUUACCUUAAAAGACUCUAAAAUGAAAAUAAAUUAUAUGUAAGCCUCGUCCAACAUAUUAUAUACUAGCAUUCCUGCAGUACUAUCCAUUUUGUGUGCUUCUUCCUUGAGUGCCCAUGUGACAGGCCCUUUAGGGGUAUUUGCCUCUUUUCAUUCUCGUUGAAGCCUCAGUCGCUCCAUUGUACCCAUAUGAUAUAAUAGCUCCAACUUAACCUUGACCCAUCCACAAUUCUCAAUAAUUAUACACAUUUUAAUUGAUUAAUAAUUCUAGACGAAUGAGAUUAUAGGCACUGAGAUAGCUAAUUAAGGGGCUUAUUGCCUUUUGGACCACAACAAUAUGAAUAGAAUAAAGGAAAAUAUUUAAAAAUAGUAGAUUUUACAAAAUAUUUACAAUCUAUAAUAAAUUCUAUUGUGAUAGAAGACAAAAUUUUGCUAUAGUUUAUAAAUAUUUUAAUUUAUUUUGCUAAUUUUAAAAAUGCCCCACAAUAAAAUAUCAAACUGAUUAUAUGUUAAUCGAAAACAAUGACACUUAAUAUUGAGACUCAAACUAGCAAAGUGAUUAUAUGUUAACUAGGGGGUGUUUGGAGAGGGAAAGGAAAGGAAAGGAAGGGAAAAGAUUAUGCAGUCAUUUCUAUGUUUAGGGCAAGGAUUAAGUGGGAAAAAGAAAUAAGUUUAUUCUUUCCAAAAUCCUUCUUUUUCUUUCUCUCGUCAAUCCUUCUUUUUCUUCAAUAAAUAUAAUCGCAUCAAACUUUUCUCUUUUUUCGUAACAAUUAUAUAUAUCGACAUAUACAUAUAAUUAUCAAAUUUCUAACAAAGUUUCACUCUUUAAUUUAAUUAAAUAAACACCCAAAAAUAUUUAAUUAAAUUCAAAUUCAAGAACACUAAAAUUUGAAAUCUAAUGAUUAAUUAAGUAUUCAAACCUACAAAUAUUUAAUUAAUUUUAAUUUUACAAAACCAUAAAUAUUCCAUUCAAUCAUUUAUCCAUUUUUACUUUGGUUUCUAUUGCUUUAUUAUUAUUAUUAUUAUAUUAUUAUUAUUAUUAUUAUUAUUAUUAUUAUUAUUAUUAUUUGCAUUAUUCUGAUGUACGACAUAAUUGACAUCACCAUUUAAUUGCAUUCCAAAAAAAAAAAAAAUGUAUUUCAUUUUGUUUCAAUGCUAUUAUGUUCCUUCUCGUUCGUUUAAAUCGGUUGUUAGCGAUAUGCAAUUUUUCAAUAUUGCACUUACAAUAUCAAUUUUAAAAAAUAGAUAUAAUUUCUUUCAUACGUAACACAUCAAUUAAUUUAUUGGCACAGACAGUUUACGUAUAAAACGUUUAAAAUUGACAUCAUAUUUAUGAAAACUAAUGGAACAUGUUUUCCAAUAAAAAAAUCUAAAUUUUGAUAAAUUAAAAUACGAAUAUUUGUGUAUUGGAUUUACUAUAAAUUUUUUAUAAAAAAAAAUUCAAGAGUACGAAUUAAAAAAAGAAACUUUUUUUUUUGUCAUAGUUCUUCCCCAUCCUUCCCAAUUUAUUUUUCAAAACCUUUCAAAAUGCAACCAAAGAAAAAACAUAUUUUAUAAUGUAUUGGAUUUAUAGAUCAAAUUAAAUUAAAAAUUAAAGACAAAUGAAAAAAAAUAAUAAUACAAUUUUUUUGUGAAUUGAAUUUACGAUACAAAUUUUAAAAGCAUAUUUUACACAAAGCAAAAAAAUUAAUACAAUUUGUUUUGUGUAUUGGAUUUAAUGUAAAAAAUUAAGAAAAAAAACUACUGUACAGAUGAACAAAAAAAAUCACUUUUAUAAUUGGGUUGGGUGUACGUUACAAAUAAAAAAAUAUUUAUACAAAAUCAACCAAAGAAAAGGUUAAUACAAAUUUUUGUUGUUGUAUUUGGGUUACAGUAGAACUUAACUAAAAAAUGAAUUUGAAUACAAUUUUCUAUUGUUAAGGCUUUAAACAAAAGUUUACACAAAUGCAAAAAAUAUUAGCACAUUUUUCAUUUUGUGUUGGGUUCACGAAAUAAACAAGAAUUUCAUACCCAUGAAAAAAAAUAAUUUAGUUUUUUUUUCUUAUAUUGGGUUGACGUAAUUUUUUUUUACACAAAUGAAAAAAAUGCAAUUUUUUUUAUCAUAAUCUUUUUUCCAAAUAAGGAUUAUAAAUAAUCUCUCAUAAUCUUCCCAUUUAUUCUUUUCUCCAAGGAUUAUAAAUAAUUCUCUAUAAUCCUCUCACUUAAUCAUUUUUCCAAAUAAGGAUUAUAAAUAAUCAUUUUCUUUUCAUAAUCCCCUUUUUCCUUAUUACUUCUCCCCAUUUCCCUUUCCUUCCCCCAAACACCACCUAAGGAUUAGAUAUGAAAACAAUCAAAACUUGAAAGAAUAUCAAAACCUUUGUAUAUUCAAACCAUAGUCAAGACACGUUUCUGAUAAGCGUUAUCUUCAAGACAAUUAUCUACAUGGGCUUGCAAACAGAUUACAUCGAUCAUCUCAAUAGGAUACAAUGACUAACCUCUGAUAGAAUUGUACCCACAAACUACUCGAUGUUGACUAAACUCUUGGAUACUAAGAAAGAAAGGAGUGAGAAAACUCUUCAAUUUGAAAUGAGAUGAAACAAAGGAAGAACAAAGUUGCUAUUCGUACCAUAACUCCAAAAUAGAAAAAAAAAAUUGAUACAAAUAAAUACAAAAAUCAAACAUAAAUACAUGUUAUUUGAAAGUUCUUAGACAAUGAAUUUAAUCUACCCAACUAAACCUAUAUACUCAAGAUUAGUUGAAUAAGUUUAAGAACUCAAAUUUUAUGAUAGAAAAACGUUCGGUAUAUAAUUGAAAAAUUGCUCGAAAUAUGUUAAAGUUUGCAAUUCCUCCAUCGGACCAUCACAAUAUCAAGUAAAAUUUACCUUAUUUACAAAUAAUAUCUUAGGACAAAUUCCCACUUACAAUUGCCUCCUAAUCUUAAGAUAAUUGUGAGGAAAAUAAAGAGAGUAAUUUUGGCCAUGCAAAACUACCUGACUCAAAGGACCAGAACUUGACAGAAUGACCUCAUCAGUAAUGUUGGCAAACUUUUUUCAAGAACAUUAGUUUCAUCAUUUAUUUAAUUAAUAAUUCAAGUCCAAGUUAGUAAAAAUGAAAACUAAUUCAGGAGUUUUAGUAAAUAGUAACAAUAAUAAAACUGUCACACAAAAACAAAGACAGUAAAAUAAGCCCGUUUUCCCUUCAAAACAAGGAUUAACAAGUAAAUUUACAUGAAUUACACUGUUGGCUUUUCAUUUAAGUAAAGCUGCCAGAGCAGAUUGUAAAGAACAUUAAACAAAGAAGCUGAACCCAGUGCUCUAGAAGAAUCAUCAGCCAAAAGAAUGGCAUGUUACAUAAUCCUUCAACUUGUUAGUGCCUUCCUCAGGCAAUGGUCAUUUGUGAGCAUUACAAAACUGUUGCUUAACUUGGUCCCUUGUUAUCUAUCUAUCUGUCUCCACCAUCAAGUUCCUCUUGAUCAUUCAGUAGAAUUGCUUCUUUACUAUUCAUUUCUCCGCUCCCCUCUACUCGGUUUUCACUCUUGUACCCAAAAAAUGAUUCUGAUGUUGACUCAUCUUCAUCAUCCUCUUCUUCAGUUUGCUUAUCUUUUGAUCGGAAGCCCAACUCACUUUGCAUCCAAGUGGGACAAUGGUGCACAACUCCUAGACCACCAACCUGAGCUUGCGAUUGGUCUGAGACCUGUCUUGAGCAAGCACAUUCAGGAACAGGAUGAGAUAGAAAAGAUAUUGAUUUAGAUAAUGUUGACGCUUCUAUCAGUCCAUCAACUAAUGACUUCCUUAGAUGUUGACGAAUCGAUCUCAGCCAUGUAUAGUUUGCUUGAUAUAGGUGUUCUCUGGUUUCUGCUAGGAGAGUUACCAUUUGUUUUCUGCACGGACAACAGCAUUGUAAGCAAAUGGUGUUUGAUCAUUAACCAUUGAUGAUACGUCAAUAUAGAAAAACCAAUACCUAUCAGGUCGGUAUGUUUUAAGUGAAGCUGACUGAUAAAGCCUGUGGCCCAUCACCAAGCUUGCAAAAUUUGGAUGCCCCUUGCCAUCACGAUCGAACCCAGGAAUAAAAACAUCAGCUUCAACCGAUAUAAAGUAGUCUAUAGCUUCCCAAAGCAAUUUAUGGGCAUUGGUCCUCAACUCCAUCACAGUACUUUCGGGCUCAAUGUCACUCUCAGCCACCCAACCCCACCAACCUUCAAUGUUGUGUGGAUAUUUUGGCCUUGCUGGUGGAGGUGGCAACGGGCGAGGACGUGGACCAUCAGUAUUCCACGCAUCAGGUUUCGACUCCUUCAAAAUGGAAGGAGGCGACCUUGGAUAGUUUCCACCGACAUUAAUCUCACGACCAUAAAGCCUAUUAAGUUCCCAUGGGGUGCUAAGGGAAGUCCUGUCAACAACAUUCUCAAAAGUAGCAUGGAGAGGAAUCAAGGUUCUUUGUCCACCGAAAACUUCCCCACCUGACACGUAUAUAAUGGUGUCCCAUGAAUAUCCACGGGCCCGGAGAAGAAUUCCUACCUGUAAAAGGUUCACAAGCAUCAUAUUCUCCACUUUCAUAAUUUCAUCUAACCAUUGGAUCCAAACUAUAUCACCUCCAUGUUAUUUCUCAGCUUACCUCUUCUGGCGUUAGAGGACAAGAACCAUUUAGCCGUUGAUCCUCAGAAUUCACUGAAAGCUUCCCCUUGACAAACCCCCGUCUACGCAUCCACAAUCUUUUGUGCUGAAUGAGCUCAUUAUGUACAUCCUGAAUGACAUUUCAAAUAAAAAACAUAUCAAACGUCAAGAAUAAAUCACCAAACAUAUGAAUUACAUAAUCAAGGUUAAAAUAUGUACCUGAAACAAUUCAGCACAACCGUAAUAAGCUAAGGCCUCUCUUGUCAUCCCAGGAUAGUAAGCUAUGAAUGGCCUACCCGGAGCUCUUAACCUAAAAAAAAAAACUGUAAGAAGAACAGUUUCAAGAACCUUUCAAAACAUUUCAAAUAUUUACCUAUGCAGAAUUUUGGUGGCAAGAUCCUGAACUUCCACUCUGAAUUGAAGAGCAUGGAAGGCAACUCUACACCUCAAUCUCUGAUACUCUUCAAGAUCGGGCGAAAGGAUAGCCUAGAUUAUCAUUUAAGUGUACAAUCUAUUAGAUUUUGAAGAUAUUCUUUUUCUCUUUUAAUGGAAUACCAACCUUCCAUGAAGGCAAAUGAAAGAAUAUUGUGAAAAAGGUCCUCGAGAGAGAUUCUUAAGAUAUUACAAUGUCCGAAAACAAUUUUGGAAAUAACUACUUUCAAAAUAGUGACACAAAUAUCCCCCCAGUUUGCUGCUAACCCAUACUUCUAACCCUCUUCCAAACACAAACUAAUGUUAUAACUUCAACAAGAUCAUAUAAAACAUAUUUUGACAAGCAUAACAUGAACUACACUUUGAAUUCAUUAACUACUUUCAAAAUAGUGGCACAAAUAUCCCCCAGUUUGCUGCUAACCCAUACUUCUAACCCUCUUCCAAACACAAACUAAUGUUAUAACUUCAACAAGAUCAUAUAAAACAUAUUUUGACAAGCAUAACAUGAACUACACUUUGAAUUCAUUAACUACUUUCAAAAUAGUGGCACAAAUAUCCCCCCAGUUUGCUGCUAACCCAUACUUCUAACCCUCUUCCAAACACAAACUAAUGUUAUAACUUCAACAAGAUCAUAUAAAACAUAUUUUGACAAGCAUAACAUGAACUACACUUUGAAUUCAUUAACUACUUUCAAAAUAGUGGCACAAAUAUCCCCCAGUUUGCUGCUAACCCAUACUUCUAACCCUCUUCCAAACACAAACUAAUGUUAUAACUUCAACAAGAUCAUAUAAAACAUAUUUUGACAAGCAUAACAUGAACUACACUUUGAAUCCAUUAACACCAGUCAUACAAGUUAGCAUUUCUGGUGAAGAUAGUUCCAAAUAUAAAGGAAUUCAAAAGUGUUCCUUACCUGCAAACAACCGCCAUCGGAGACAACAAGUUCAACCACCGAGUGCUUCUUUAAAACAGGAAGCACAUUGUGCCGAUAAAAAUAUGGAGAUGCUAAGUAAGGUGCUUUAAAACGUGGGAUCUCUUUUUUCCUUCGAGCACCUUUCAGAUUUCUUGGAAGUGUCUUAACAACUUUAAUGUCUCUAGUCAACGCUGCAAUGAACUGGUCUUCAUUAUAAAGGUAAGAAAAACUCUUGAACUGGGAGCUGCACGAAGAUAAUUAGACAACUCGGUUAAUAAACAUACUUUUUUGAACCAUGGAAAAAGGUAGUAUGUUAAUUUGAAACAGUUCAAACCUGAUUCCUUUGCUGCUUGUGGUUGAUUGAAUCUCAGGAACUACUAAGGUAGCAUUAAGGAGCCGAGCAAUGACAACAACAUCACAUAUCUAGAAGACCAAGCAUUUGCAAUUCCUUCAAUUUGCUACCAUAACCUGAUAUUAAUAUCAUAAAAGAGAUUAAACCAUUGCAUCCUUACCGAAUUCCUGAUCUCAUGGAAUCCGCCCUGUAUCCUGACAAAGAUGAAUCCAUUUGAUUGUAAUGAGGGAUCUGCCGAUGUGAUUAGUUCAGGAAUGCAUCAUUUUAAACACAUCAUAAAAAAUUCUUACCAGGUAAAAGAGAUGAAGAUUAGGUACUAGUUUAUUAUCAGCGCCAUGGAAUUCAACGGGCACAAAUAUAUAUAUCAAGAAGAUAUUAUCUAUAUAUAUCUGUCUGUCUGUCUAUCUAUCUAUCUAUCUAUAUACACACACAUAUUUAUUUAUUUAUUUAUUUAUUAUUAUUAUUAUUAUUAUUAUUAUUAUUAUUAUUAUUAUUAUUAUUAUUAUUAUUAUUAUUAUUAUUAUCAUCACUAUUAUUAAUAUUUUGCUUGGUGCAGGUGGAAAACCAAAAUUAAGAUUCAGAUAUGAGAGAAGCAAUAUGACUCUAGCUAUAAUACCUUUUUUCAGAAAACAAAAAAGAACGAACUGUAAGCUCUUAACUCCUCAAGACUGUGGUCCGAUAGAAAAUAAGAGGGAGGAAUCCAAUACUGACCUACUACGUGUAGCUUCAAGCAUUCAUUCGUGAAGAUUAUAUAUGUAUCAGGAAAAUGAACAAGAAAUACCUCACAUCAACUUUUACCUAAUGACUAAAAUAAUUAUUUACACAAACAAAACAUUUAAAAGUUCAAAGACCAAAAUGAAAUAAGCAUGAAAGUUCAAGAUGCAGAGUAGGAAUCAAACCAAAUUCAAGCUCUCUAUAAGAGGAAAAUCUGCUACACCAUUAAGUUGCAACAAAUAAAUGAAGCUGCAGAAGAGGCAAUACCAGGAUAGUGUUGUCUGGGAUUUGCAUCAGGAUGCAAAGUCUCCAGCCGCCGAACUGGGCCCCAAAGCCGUCUAAACAAAGGACUCUGAACAAUAAAUUAGGAGAAAAAACACAAACAGCAGCAAAUGUAAGAUUUUGGAAACACAGAAGCAUGAAAAUUUUAGCAAAAAUCUAACUAAACAACAAGAUACCCAUUUCGAAGGAAGACAAAAAGCCUCGUGUUACUACAUAAAUCACCAAAACAGAGGAACCCUAGAAGUGAGAUUUGAGGUUAUUUUAAAUUCAUAGAAGAAACCCAUAUCCCCAAAAACAAAAAAAAAAAAAAAAAAAACAAGUUAAGAUCUCUGGAAAAAAAAACAUGAGAGGGAGAGAGAUGAGAUCUUACAGUUGGGGAAAAGUCUGCAUGUUCAAAAACAGGUCUCCAAGAGAAGAUUGUAAUAGAGGAUUGGAACUCAGAAAUGCUGUCCUGAGUAAAUCUAGCAAGAAAGAAAUGGGUGAAGAGGGAAAAAGCAGAAAGAACAAUACCCACCAAACCAACCCAUUUCAUCCUUGAUUUGAACACCAUUUCUCCCUUCCCUUUCAUUGCCCCCUCCCCUUUAGAUUUCUCAAACUACAGGGCGAAGCUUAAGGAGGGAGAGGAAGAAGAGGAAGAAGAAGAAGAAGGUGAAGCAGUGGAAGAGUGAGUAUAGAUUAAAAAAUUGUUGAGUGAAUCAAGUAAACGAAGACAGAGGGGGAGAAGGCAGAAGUGGAUGUGGGAGACCAAAAUGGCACGUGCGAGACAGAUCAAGCAAGUUUGUUAUUUUUAUUUUUAUUUUUAUUUGGGUAAUUUAAAUAUGAUUUAUGUGUGAUAUUACCAAUUGAUUGUGGAGAAGAGGAUGUAAUAAAGGAUGGUCCUUUGAAGAACAUAAGAAAAUGUUGCCUUUUUGCCUUUAAACUUCAAAGUAGGGUGAUCACAUGAUACCUAACCCCUUUUUCUUUCUUUUUUCUUUUUUCUCUCAUGUGACAUGGAUACACAACUUUUUGCUCAUGCCUUUAAAUAGCUUCCUACAUUUUUCUUUCUUUGUCACUUUACAUUCAAACCUUUAGAUUCUUGAAUUGAUCAUACUACCUAAUACUGUUGAUUUAUGGUUGAAUUCUUUUGUCAUAAAUAUCAUCACUCUUCAUUUAUUUAUUAGUAUGUAGUUAUCAAAUAUCAAAUACAUAACAUUAUAAUAUUGUAAAACUAGGUAGAUGGUUUAUUCUUCCUAACUUUUCAAGUUUUGAACUUUUAACAUAUUGUUUCUUUUAAUUAGUCCUUUGAAUUUUAUUGUUUUGUCUCUACUUUUAUGUCUUAGGUGUUAAGUUCAACAUUUAGUCCACUGAAUAUCAAAGUUAAUUAAGACAUGUAGGUUUCUCUAGUAUAGAUACUAAUCAGAGAAUUACUUAUAGAGUAAUUAAGAGCAUGUUAUAAUUGCUUUUUUUUUUUAAGAAAAAGAAUUGUCAAAAUAGUAAAUUUGACAAAAUACUUAGAACAUAUAGUAACAAUUUUCAUAUUUUAUCAAUAAUAGACAUUAGUGAAUACUGAUAUGCUUCUAUAAGUGACAUUAAUAGAUAGUGAUAAAAAUAUAUCAGAUAUUUUUAUUGAUAAAAUCUAAAAUUUUGCCAUAGUUUAUAAAAUAUUUUAAUUUAUUUUGCUAUUUUUUAACAAAAAUAUAAAUAUAUUAGAAACAUUUAAAAGUCAAUAUGAAUAACACUAAUUAAUGAUUAGGAAAAGUAUUUGUUUUUAUUAUAUUGUUUUUCAAGAAUCUAUUAGAAAUAAAAGUUCAAUAUUUUAGGUAAUUGUGAGAAAAAAAACCAAAUUCUAAUAUUUAUAAAUUAGAAUAACAAUUCAAAAUAUUGAUCUUUUAGGUAUGUUGCAGCCUACUUAUGUAUGCCACUCCAACUAUCACUUUCGGCCACUUUAUCGACAAGCUUUUGCAACUAAUUUUGAUGACAGUUGCCAACCAACUUCUAGCCGUCGCCAGUUAAACUUGAAUUUUUUUUUAAUAAAGACACUCUUAAGGGAGUUAUCAAAUACAUUCAUGUUUUUAUUUUAAAAACUAUUUAUCAAAAUGGUUUAAAUAAAAAUAAAUUUUUUAAAAACAUUUUCUUACCGGUUAUUCUAGAUACACUCUAAUAUUUUUAGAGAAAUUGUAGUGGUAAGAAUUUUAGAAAUAAUAAUUAAGUAUAUGGUAAUAUUUUUAAAAAAUUAUAAAUAUAACAAAGUUUAUCAGUCACUAAUAGAUUACAUUCAGUGAUAGACUUCUAUCACUUCUAUCGCUAAUAGAAUCUUCUAUCAGUGAUAGACUUUGACAAAUUUUGCUAUAUUUACUAAUAUUUUGAAUCUAAUGGUUAUAUUUACAACUAGUCCAUUUUUUUUUAAAAAAAAAUACACUUUUUCAUUUAUUUUUUCAAACUUAUUAAUAUUAUUAGAUUAACUUUUUAAAAUUAUAUCUCUUCCCUCGUUCGUUUGAAAUUAACGUUUUUUUUUCAUUUUAGGAGAUAGUAGUGGUAUAUAUACAUAUGGAGAGAGAUGAUAAUCUUUUUGUAAAAUAAUAGCUCAUUAGAUUACAUUUAUGUAAUUAAGUUCAUUUGGUUAUGUUAUAUGCGUACAAAUCUCUAAUUUAGUUUAAUAACAUCUUUAUUUUUUUGUUGGUCAAUUUAGCUUAAACACUUAAAAUUAUCUUUUAAACUUGAAAAUUACAACAUUGAUAAAAAUUAGAGACCAUACUUGAAUUUUCUAUAAUUGAAUUUAAAAUUAAAAUAUUCGUUUUACUUCAAUUUGAAGUUAACACGUAUUAAAGUUUAAAAAAACUAUAAAUUUUUUAAUUAGUUAGAGUAAUAUAAGUCUAUUGAAAAUUUUAUUCCAAAACCGAGUAAAAAUCAAAUAUCCAAAUAUUAAAUAAAUUCUCUAGAGAAGUAUAGAGUAAUCACAAGCUAUACGAAUUUAUUUUAGAAUCAAGACAUCAAGACAUAGGUAUCACGCACCCAAUAUCUGUUCUACAAAACUCACCAAAUGUCAUUAUUUAUAAGCAAUUUGACAAACAUGAGAUGAAUUACAUGCUCACUAAUGAUUGGUAUCUUCAAGACAUAUGACAAUGUAGAUGAAAGAGAAAAAAGUGACACACGAUAAUAAACAUUGAGCAUAAUAUGACAUCUACUCUAAUAAUAUUUAAUUAUAAUAAUACCACGUUUUUUUUUAAAAAAAAUUUCAAUUGUUUUCAAACUUUUUUUAUAUACUAGCCUAUUUAUCUCAUGCACAUACUCGUUUUAAUUGGUUUUUCAUUAAAACUUAUAAAUGUUUGUCAACAAUCAAUCAUUCAUAAUGUUUAGAUUAGAACUUCCAAGAAAUAUUAUUUAUCGUGAAAAAUGUAUGGAGGUGUCUUUGUAUAGUCUUUGAUUGUAUAAGUUCUACUGUUAAUAGUUGUGAGCUGAGUUGUUAAGUAUGAAAGUAAUAUGUUUAUAGAAUUAGGACGUCUACCUUUAACGUGCAAAAUUGAGUUAUUAAGUCUAUUUUAUAUAUAGUUACCUGAAAGAGGCUUACGUACGAUAUAGUUUUGAAUUCAAAAUUAAGAAAUAAAAAUUGUAUUAUAAGUGCACAACUUCCAAAUAUCUUAUUUGGGGAUUAUUAGAUUUGAUUUAAAAGCAAAGGAUAAAUAUUUUCACUUUGUCCAAUUGCCCCUUUUGGUACUCUUGGAUAUUUAGGCAUAAUGCUUGAUUGUUUUCUUCUUGUUAUUAGUCUAAUCCACCAAAAAGCUAAUAAGAGAAAAGAAACUUGUUCCAUCAUAUAUAUCCACUCAAAAAGGAAAGUGACAACCAUGUAAAGAAUGUGUACUCAAUUCACAUAGUGUAAAGGGGAAAUGAUCAUAUUGUUGCUUUAAUAGCCAAUAUCUUCCUAAGAUAUUAUAUGUAUUUAUGAUAAUUUUGGUUGAAUGUUUGUCUUUUUAAAUAUGUUCAUUCAAUUGAGAAUGAGAUAGGCCAAACUUUAUAAACAAUUAGAUUUUGGACAAUUUCCAUAUAUAUUAUACACAUUUAGAUACAUCAUUGUUUGUUUUCAUUUUAGAAGAUUUUCUAGAUGUUAGGUGAUUAUUAUUGUUAGUUAUUGGAGUUGUAUGUAGAGUAGAUACAAUUCAAUUGGUUGUAACGUUAAUAAUCUUUUUAUGAAGCCUCCAAAUGCUGGAAAGCUCUUCUACAUUGUAAAUUUCUUUAAUGAGUUUUGUGGGGUUGAGUUUGGUUGAUUCAUGAAUGUAAGACCCCAAAUCACCUCUUAAGCAACGUGUUAAGACUGGAUGCGGUAAGAGUUGUCAGAUUGGAAGUGUUUCUAUUGAUUUGACAUGUUAUGUGUUUUGAACAAGCGUUGAAUAAGUUCCUAUGCGUUCUGGCAGUUGGCUAGAGAUUUCUUAGCAUAGUACAUGAUGCCAUCCUUGUGUCUGAAGGGAGGUGCUCAGUAAGUUGGUGUUCAGACCCAGCCUCCCAUUGAUGAUCAAAAUUAGGAUGGUGACAGCCAAUGACAGUACAAAAUUUGUUGAAGCUCACUGUUGGACAAAGCUAAUCAUUUUGACAUGAAAAUCCUCACAAGAGAAGUGUAUAAUUAGGACAGUUUCGAGCAAAUUUUUAGAGCUUAAUAUGAACUUUGAACUAAGUAAGAAGCUAGAGGAACUGCCAAGGGUUAAGGAGGUUUCCUCAUAUGAGUCUCGCAUUUAAGGUCGAUGAGGAGUUUGGCCAAGCGCUUAGGCUAGAAGGAAACCUUAUCUUGACUCUUAGUGCUUUUAAAAUGUUUUGAAAACCAAAAUGAUUUUCAACUUAUAUUUGAAACUCUUGAGUAUUGAUGUUUAUUUAAUAUUGUCAUUCGAUUUAAAAAUGAAUCAUGAUUUAUUCUUGUGAAAUGUUUUGGUACCCUAUGCAAUGAACCUUACAGUUACUUUGUGAUUUGAUGUAUGAUGUCUUAUACUUGCUUUGUGAUUUGAUAUAAAAUGUCUUAUACUUGCUUUGUGAUCUAGUAUAAGAUGCUCUUUGCUUACUUUGUGAUCUAACAUUGGAAUACGUGUUAUGCGUAUAUGAAAUUGAUGAUGUUCGCUAAAUGCGUUGAGAUUAGUCAAUGAUGAGAAUGGAUGAAUGACAUCUCAACCGAGGUGAUGGGUACAUUUGUGAUACAUUGUGAUGUAUGCCUUAUGGUUUAUGAAAUGAUUUAUUCGAGGAAAAGAUGAAUUUCCAAAGAAUAUCUUUGCGAACUAUUUGUUGUGGAUUUUAAAUGUUUAAAAUUGUUAGAUGCAGCGAAAUAUUUUCGGAUUUGAAUCGCAUAUUCUUGUCAAUCGUGUUGUGCUUGCAAGCUGAAUUUUAAGUUUAUGAUUUAUGCGUUGUAUUUAUGAAAACCUAUUUUAAUGAAAUGUGUUGAAGAAAUCCCACUCAGACAUUUUGUCUAAUCUUUCAAAUGUUUUGUUUUCUCUCUCCUUUCCAGGUAGCGAAGGACAUCCAACGUUUGAUUUGUCGUCUUAAUCGCCUACCAUAUCAUAGUUGCAUCACAUUUUCUUGUUAGUGACACCCACCGCACCGCACGUGUCCUUAACCUCGCUAUGCAGCAUUCUACACAGUUUGAGUAGCUCUAACGCCUUAAAUUGAAACACUAGAACGCUCAACUUAAUUAAGUCAUUCAAUCUUGGCUUUAUUGCCUAGUUCAAACUUAACUCCUUUGGUUACUAAACGAUAAGCAAUAAUACAACUUAGUAGAAAUCAACAAACAACAUCUCUUUGAUUAACUUAAUAAUAUGCGUUCCAAAAUACAAUAUAAUACAUGUUUUCUUUUACAAUAAGACUUAAGAUAAACUUUAGGCAUUCAACUCCUAGCUCAACUUUUCAAGCUUAAACUUAGAUCGCCCCAUUGCAUAGCAAUUCACCAAACUUUUCAUAACUUGGCCUUAACACCUUGUCACAUGAGGAAGGUAAAUACUUAGUGAGUGAUAUUUUGGAAAUUCUUUUGGAGAAACACAAUACAUUCAAUAAACACAUUUCAUAAGACAGACCAUUACGCCUCAAUUGAAAACAUAAACCACACACUUGUCUUUCAUAUUCCUUCCUUCUAAGAACAUGAAUUAUUCUCACGCAUAAACUAGUGUGAUGAUUACAUCAUCAACAACAUCUUCUAAGAAUCUUUCGGCUCAUUUCUUGUUGCUCAAGCUGCUAACACAACUGCACUGAUCAACUGCUUACAACCAUGCAACCCUUUUCUACAUGGUGGUCUUGACUCAUUAUGUGCACAUAAAAGCUAGCUCAUAGAUAGAAAUAAGAAUAACAAUUUUCUCAUAUACAUAACAUACAAUCAUCACAUAAACUUAUAACUAAAAUCUCUUUCUUAUAAAACAUUCAAGCUUUCUCAAUAGGAUCAAUAAGGUUGCACAUGCUUAAAACAUUAGCAUAACAAUACAAAGGAAAAAAGAAAGCUCUAAAACUCUGUUAAGCUUUGAAAAAUUACCCACAACACUAAGUUCCCUUUUCUCAGAAUGCCUAACACCUCCUUGCCUAAUUCUUCUUCCUUUUACUAGAGUAACUUUAAGAAUGUUAGCUUAAUCGUUCCUUCUUCUGACUUUUUACCCUUAUUUAUACUAAUUCAAAAUUGGAUUAGUCAUCUUUAAGCUCUCGUUAACUCACCAACUUCUACUUAAAGUGCUACAAGUGUAGGCUUAUUAUCUUUCCAAAACAUGCUUAACUUAAUCCUUUACACACAUCCUACUAAUAAAUCUCAAUUAGAAAAUUUCCAGAAAAUUCCUAACUCUCUAUCGCUUGGCCUCUUCUCGUCUUGCAUCAAAAUGUCUUCCUUCUUUCUUGCAUUACCUAACUUCAACGUGAGCUACCAUUCAAAACGCCCAAUUCAAAAUACUCUUCUUAAAAUGCUAAUAAAUAAAGUCCUAAUUCAAAAUAACCCUUAUAUUUUAGUCACGGGUCUCACAGUUUCGCUAAAUUAAUUAAGUAUUUGGUAUGCGUUAAAUAAGUGAAUUGUGGUAGAAUUUCACAUACUAGGUAUUAAAUCACCAAUUCACCCAAAAGCUUAAGCUUGUGGUUGAAUUGAUGAUUUAAUAUGGUAUCAGAGCAGGUGAUCCAGAGAGGUCCUGUGUUCAAGCUCCUCUAAUGUCGUUUUCUCUCCAAUUAAAUUUCCACUUUGUUGGGUUUUUCAAAUAUUUUAAGCCCACAAGUGAGGGAGAGUGUUGGUGAUAUAUAAUUAAAUUUGCCUUCAACCACUAGCUUAAUUUAAUAAUAGGUAUUCAACAUAUUGUCGCAUGGUGAGACAGACAUUGAGUGUCUAGGCGAUCACACGUUCUCUUAGUCUUUGUGGGCUGGCCAGGGAGAGAGGGUGACAAUGAACCGGGCCAACUAAUUAGAUUUGAGACUUUGUUGGCCUUUGAGACAAAUUAACCCUUAGUUUUCCUCCACUGGAUUUUAACACAAAUGUUAAUGUAAAAUUGGACCAAAUUAAUAUUAUUCAAUCCAUCAUUCAUGGUAAAUACACAUGAAAUUAACAAGAUUUUUCACUUCAUGUCUUGAAUAUCAAUAUGCGAUAUAAGUCAUGUUUUAGUUACGACAUUAAUUUGAUAAAUGACAUAACGAUUUGCAAUUGGUUUCUUAUUUAAGAGACAUGCUAUUUAAUUGAUUUUAUCUUGAUUGCAUUUUGAAGUGAUUAAAUUAAAAGAUAAGUUGUUUUAAAAAAAAUACCUAAAAUGGAUCAAAUGAGUUUAUAAAAUAACGUGGUUUAGGAUUAACACUUAAAACUAACUUUUAAAAAAGUAUUUUUUAGUGCUUAGUGAUUAAUCUCCCUAAUUUGUAUGUAAGACUCUAGUCACCACCUUCGGCUUUCCUUGCUAGCUAACCUCCAACAACUGUCUCCGCAAAAUGUCACUGACCAACAUCCGACCACCGUCUUCAGCAAUCAUUGUGAAUGAUGUAUAUAUCAUGCAACAAAGCAGUUAGAACAAAUAUCAUCCUAAUUACAAUAAUUGAGAGGACUAAAUAUAAUUUCAAUAUGUAAAAGUAAAAACAGUGUUUAGGUGUUCAUACCUUUGUAGCUCUAUUCUUCACUUGUUUGUUAUUAUAGUGUAUCGUAAAUUUAUCUCUGUAACUUUAAUCUUCACUUAUUUGUUGUUGUAGUUUAUCGUAAAAUUUAUCAAAGACAACCAUCUAAAUCUUCUCUACUAUUCUUUGAACUUAGAACCAAGUUGUGGGACAAAAUUAGUGGGACAAAAUUAGUGAUCCAAAUUUUGAGUUUUUGAGAGAAAGAGGCUCUGAACACUGUGAUUUUCCAACAAAAUUCACUAAGGUUCAUCCAACUUUUACACAAUCAAAUUUGUUAAAUUAUAUAUAGCCAAAAGACAUGCAAAAUCUUACUUGCAAUUUAAUUUGACACUUAACAAUCAUUCAGUAAGUGAAUUUGGUGGAUGGAUUUGCUUGUGGAACAACACAUCAAGCACACAUAACUUAUUCAUCACACUUGGAAUCAUCCACUAAAUCAAGGUCAAAGCCAACCUUUGACUUUCAAAGCUAAAGAAUUAACCUUUUGAAUUUGGACUAAAAAUCAAAUUUAUUUUUUUAUUUUUGUAGUUUAUGUAAGAAUUUAAAAUUAUUUUAAAUAAUCAAUUUUAUAUUAGACAGUUAAUCAAACAAUUUAAUUAAAGAAAAUUAGUAAAUUUGACAAAAAAAAAAAAUUCUAACGUAUGAUUUUUUUUUCUUCAGAUUCUAUCAAUAAUAAGCAUUGAUAGCCACCGAUAUGCUUCAAUCAGUGACAUCGAUAAACAAUGAUAGAAAUCUAUGAGUGGCUAUAGUGCUAGCAUUCAAAAUUUUGCUAUAGUUUGUAAAUAUUUUAAUUUAUUUUACUAUUUUAAAAAAUGUCUCUUUAAUUAAUUAAAUUCGACUCAAGGUUGGUGAAUGAGAAUGAUCUAAUCAAAUCCAUAUUUAAAUUUUUGAUAUUUAAAUUCUAUUUCAAUAUCAUUUUUCUCUCAAUUUCUAAUAGUUAAUUAUAUUGAAUAUAUAGAACAUUAUUAAUGAUUUUACCUUUAGUUAUUAGACAAAGAAAAGAAAAGUGAGAAAUGAUAAUUAUAACAUAAUAAUAACAACAAUUAAAUAUUAUUACAAUUGUUAUUAUUAUUAUAAUUAUGUUUAUUAAAAACUUUUCGUUUUGCGUGCAGUCUCUCUUCCUCUUUCUCAUUCUCCUUCUCCUUCACUCUCCCUCUUCUCUACCUGCCCUAGCUGCGGCCUACAGUCCCUUCACCGUCGCCGUCCGAGCUCGCACGCCACCUACAUAGAUAGAGCCGUCUUCGCUCAGAUCUGUCCUCGCCGUCGAAGUCGAACGCCAACCGAAGAGUUCGGCCUCGUUCGCGUCGUCUCUCCGCUUCGCGCCAUCGCGUUUGUUGCUGCCGCUCCACUUCUGUCAAGCCGACGUCGUCUGCCGUCCGUUUUCGUUAAGAUCCAAGUUGACCCGAGUCAGUUUUUCCUCUCCCAGCCAUGCGUUGAGCCGACGCGGAUUUCUUCCCAGUCUCCGAGCCGCACAUCCCCGAUUUGAGUCAUCCCUCUCUAUCCCGAUCUACACGCUUCAAUUCCAUCCUUUCUAAGUUGCAGUUUCUGCUUUGCCCGGAACUGUGGUGGUUGUGGUAAGGGUGUAAUUUAUGAGUUUUGUAGUUGUUUUCAUUGCCCUUGUUUGUUAGGUUAAUUAUUGGGUUGUCUUGUGUUCCUUGAAGGCGUUGGAGGGGUCGAGUUGUUGGGUUUGAUAACAGAUUCUAGAUUUUAGUUAGAAUUCAAUUCUUCACUAUUUCGAUAAGUGGAAUUUACUUUUGGAGUGAAUUGAAUGGAUGAAAGUUUUGUGAAAGCAUUAGAAUUUCUACUUAAUUGUUUUAGGUUGUUUCGUUGGAGUUUAGUUGAUAAACAAGCUUAACUUAGUUAAGGAAAUGAAUUUUCUACUAAGUGAUCUCUAUAUCCAAAUGAUGAGUAUAGAUUGAAUUGAAAAUGCUUACAUUUAUACUAAAUAAUUUGAAGUUAACAAUUUUCACCUCUAAUAAGACUAGCAAUGAGACUAGUAAUGAGUCUCUUAUCGGGUAUAUUUAUGUUUAGCUUUUUCAAGAUAAUACGAGAGCUAGACCGACGAGCGAAGAGGGACAAGAAGGACACGUGAUCGUCAUAGAAGAAUUUUCUUUCAAAACUUGGUUUCGCUUAAUGUUUUUAUUGAUUUUCUAGUUUUGAUGACUAAGAUAAGUUUGACAUUUAACACUUUGAUAUUUACUGUUCAAAUAAAUUUUAGGUUAAAAUAAUGGUGGUUAUUAGGAUGAAAUCAGGUUAAGUUGGGUUAGGAGGCAACCUAUAUUUUCGGGUUAUUUGGGUUGGCAACCCGAAUAACUAGAAUUUAGUUUCUAACCCAACGCAUAGGUUGGGUUGUCGGUUGUAUAUAUAAAUAUGUUUUAAUUUUUUUUUUCAGUUUUCUAGUUUCUAAUGGUUAUAAAAAUGAAAUUGUCACAUUUAAAUUUCCCUCGUACAUAAUUCAAACUUUCAUAAAAUAAAUUCAAAAUUUA